AAGCACAUCUAUCCAUUGAAAUGGAUUUGAAAUGAAAUUAAAAUAGCAAGGUUAAAACAAAUAUUGGUUAAAUUCGGUGUUGAUGAAAAGUGUUAAGUUAAAGCAAGUUGUCAAAAGAUUUUUAGCGAGAAUAUGUCUUACAUUGUUAGGAAAUAUCUAAUAAGUUGUGUGAAGUGGUUAUAAAAUAUUUUAUCGAUGAUAAAUAAAACCGAUGAAGCAAAAUAACUUUCGAUGGAAGAUUAAGAAGUAAGGAAUAAGUAUGUUAGUGUUGCUGACCGUAUCUAAAUACAAAGGCAAGUACAAGACGAGUAUAACGCGAGUACCGAUUUCUUUUUCCACAAGAUAAUGGACAAGAAAAAUUGUAGGAAAAACGUUUUAUGGUGUCAAUGCAGUUUACGACCUUUUAUAGAGGUGAAAGGGACACCCUAUGUUAAGCUUUAAGCUCAAGGUAGAAACAACGUAGAGCUGAAUCAUAGCACAGUAAUAAGGUCUCACAUAUAGGUUAAACCUCUGUGUCUCCUCCUAAGUCGAGUCUAGAAUGUCCGCUAACGGUAUCCAAGUGAUUACUUAGUCGCGACUCAUCUACCUCCUUACGCGAUGCUCUAAUUCUCAUUCGUGUCGGUAUCGAAACGCUUUUUCCUAGUUGUAACUCUAGUACGAAGACGUUGAAGAGGUAUUGAGGAACAAUUGGUAUAGGUUUCGACUUAAAAUUAUUAUUAAUGUAUAUCUACCUACUAACCAUACAUCUAAAGUCAUUAGCUACUGAGGAAUACCCAUUCUCAGUACUAAGUGCAUUGCUCCUAGAGUGGCUAGUGAUAUAACCUAAGUGGUUAACCUAGCACUCUAUAAGGGGUAAAAAUAUUUCUAAAUAAAGGCAUUGUGGUAAAAGUGCACUUAGUUUCUAAGUGUAUCUAGAUGAAUACAUAUGACAUGCAAUGCCCGUACGCACACCGAAAAAGUUUGUUUUUCAAAAGCUCAAGCUGAAAAUCGUUUUGAAGAUAAUUCUACUUUAACCAUUUCAAGCCUCGCAUUAAGUUUCCUUAAUUAAGCAUAGUUUACCAGGCUAUACUUAAUUAAAGUCUAAUAAUGCAUACUAGAAUUAGUUAUACUAGUAGUAUGUUCAGUAUUUUAAAAAUGUUUUGAAAUUUUUUGGCUAUAGUUGUGGUUCUCCAAAGGAAAACCGGUAUUCUCUAUAAGCUUCGGCUCUGAUACCAUUUCUGUCACACCCCACUAAAGUGGAAAUACAGGGCGUGGCGGUACAAAGGGUUUCAUAGCAAAACAUAAGACAACACCAACCAUAAUAUUAAAAAGCAUUACAAAUUUACAAUUGGUUUGAACAACUUUAAGAAAACAAAUUACAAUGUGAAUUUAAAUACAACACGUGUGCAUGCUCCUAAAAGUGACGUGUCUCUAUGUGCCUCUUACAAGAUGAUUCCUGAAAAAGCAUGUAAAACAAGCGUCAACUAUAAAAAUAGUUGGUGAGUACUCACAGAUUUAAAAAUAAUAUUAGUUUCAUGAACUGAACUCAAUGUUCUGAUAAGAGUUUCCAUAAAUGAAAAUAUAUUCCAAAAAUGAGUAAACAAGUUUGCAUAAACAAAGUUUGUUGUCAUCAUCAGAAAUGAAGUAUGUUGCCCAAAUCAGAUGUAACGUUCAUAUUCUCAUGGAAAAUAAAGUUUCCAUAAAUAGAAAUAUAUUGAAAAUAUGAGUAAAUAAGUUUGCGUAAACAAAGUUUGUUGCAUCAUGAGAAAUGAAGUAUGUUGCCCAAAUGAGAUGUAAUGUUCAUAUUCUCAUGGGAAAUAAAGUUUCGAUAAAUAGAAAUAUAUUGCAAAUAUGAGUAAAUAAGUUUGCGUAAACAAAGUUUGUUGUCAUCAUGAGAAAUGAAGUAUGUUGCCCAAAUGAGAUGCAACGUUUAUAUUCUCAUGGGAAAUAAUGUUUCCAUAAAUAGAAAUAUAUUGCAAAAACGAGUAAAUAUGUUUGCAUAACCAAAGUUCGUUGUCAUUGUGAGAGAUAAAGUAUGUUGCCCAAAUGAGAUGCAAUGUUAAUAUUCUCAAGGGAAAUAAAGAUUCCAUAAAUAGAAAUAUAUCGCAAAAAAAUGAGUAAACAAGUUUGCAUAAACAAUGUUCGUUGUCGUCCUGAGAGAUAAAGUAUGUUGCCCAAAUGAGAUGCAACGUUCAUAUUCUCAUGGGAUAUAAAGUUUUUUGCUAAAACGAGAUACAAGGUUCGUAUGUGCAUAAUGAUUAAAGCAUGAGUUUACAACCAAAGCCAAAUGACCGAGGGUGCCCUCUUCUAUGUCUAUCACUAACAUAGGGAAAUAUGGUAAAAUGCACUCAAGCGAAUCGUGCGAGUGAGGAGUUGUCUACCUCCUAAUAGCGCUAUCCAUAAAAACCAUAGGCUCAAAGGAGUUAAUGAGUUGUGUGAACUGAUUCCAGGGACUUAAACGCGAUAAGGCCUCAUAAAUUAACAAUAACACACACAUACAUAGCAGCAGAUAGCAACCAAGUUUGAUACAAGUCAAAUUAAAUACCACGAACAUAAAUAGUUUAGGACAUGCUUUUCCACACCAAAAGAUAAAAACCGAAAAGAGGGGGAGUCUUGAAUACUCAUAAUAUGCAAAAUAUAUCAACCAAGUUUGAUACAAGUCAAAAUAAAUACAACGAUCAUAAAUAGUUUACGACAUGCUUUUCCACCGCUAAACAUAAAAACGGAAAAUAGGGGGAGUCGUGAAUACUCACAAUGCAUUGAGAUGAUGCAAAUGGUGUCUUGAACUACGUUCCACUUGUACCACUACUGAUUCCUAAAAUAAUGGUAUUCGCUAGUGAGUAUCUAAUCGAAAUCUAACACUAGUAUACUUACUACUACAAUAGAAUUAUGUCAAUAUUAUUUCAAAAUUAAUAUUGAUAACUUACAAACAUAUUUAUGUGAAAAUUAAAUUUUAAUGAAUCAAUUGUUAUAUAAAAAUUUAAAUGGAAAAUUCUCCUUAUUGAAAUUUUAAUAUUUAACAUUUUAAGUGGUGUUCCAAUGAUUAAAUAUUCAAAAACUAAAUCAAUUUGGCUCUAAACUUUCUCAUACUUUGCAUUUCGGUUUUAAAAGUGAAAGACCUUAAGAUAAAUUUUCUUGAAUUUAUGAUUUGUCUAACUAUUUUUUACCGUUUAAUUCCUUGAAUAAUCAUAAUAUCUUGGAAAAUAAGUAAAUUAUCAUGAAAAAUUCUUAUAAUUUUUGUGUAACUGUUUUAGAGUGUAGAUAAUAUGGGAAAAAUAUCGAUAUGUGUUUUCAGAAACUUUAACAAUUUUUUUUUUUGUGUAUUUAUUCUAUAAAAAUAGAAAUAAAUAUAUAAAUGUUUUCAAAAAUUCACCAAACUUUUUUUACAAGUGUUAUUACAUAUACUUAAGCUGGAAAAAAUAUAAAAAUGGAUUUAUAAACUGUUUAACCCACUUUUUAUGAUUUUUAUGCAUUUAAGUGUAUUAAAUCUUGGGAAAAUAGAAGAAACAAAUCAUCAACAAUUUUAUGUAGCACCAUAAUACAUUAUAAGAGUUUCUUGUAAAUUUUCAUGAAUUUGGGAUGAGUAAAACUAUUUUUCUGUUUCUAAUCCAUUAUAAUCACAAAAUUCAUGGAAAAAUAGAUAUUCAUUUUGAAAAAUUCCCAAAAUAUUUUUCUGAAUCUUAAACAUAAGGUAGGAGCUACGGCAAAUAAGAAAUAAUAUGUUUACUUUCCCUAAAGUGGUUUUAUGAUUUAUUGGAGCUAAAUAAAAAGAAAAUUAAUAACCAUAUUAACAGUAACAACAAUUGAUGAAACCGCAUGAGAGUUGUUUAUUAAUUUAAGGGAUCGUCCACAAAUAUUUAUAGAAUUUAAUUACUAGUGUAAGUAUUUUAUAUGCUUUAACACUCUAUUUUCUUAUUAUAUUCAUGUAAAAAUAAAUGAAAUAUAUAUUGAGCUCAAAAUUUCCAGAAUGCAUCUUCAAACAAUUUAAUAACUAUAAAAAAUCUUUUUCUUAUUUUUGAUGUCGAAAACUAUAUUCUAAAGGCUCAAACAAUUAUAGAGAAAACUUGGUUCUUGUGAUUGUGGUAAAGAUUAUUGAUGUUAGUUAGAGAUUUUUUUCAACAUGUUCCAAAGACUUUUGAAUCAAGAUCUUUUUGUACCUCUUAAUAAAUGAUGUUAGGUGCUCAAAUUUAUUUUUUGUAGAUUUUUAGUGAGGAAUAAGACCUUUGAACAUGCAAUAGAAAGCUAGUAUUCACCAAAAGGUGCUGUUUUAGCAACAAUAUUGUAAAAAUUGCUAAAAUUCGAAAUAUUAAAAUUUUCCAGUGAGGUCAGAUGGGUUUGAAAGCUAACUCAAAAUAUUAUAUUUUACAAAAGAGAAUCUCUAAUUUUGGUUAAGAAAUGAGUGAGAUAUGGCAGUUUGAAAUAAGGUUAAGAAAUCUAGCAGAUUGCAUGCAUGAUGAUUGGUUAGAAAAAUGAAUUUUCAUCAUUUCUCUGAGUAAAUUUUUGAAAUAUUUAUUGAAAUCAGGAUAAAAUCAUAUUAUAGUCAUGUUUCUAGAGAUCAAAAGAUUAAAACUUAUCAAAAUGUAUACAUGCAUUUAUGAACAAAAUUUUGCUUCUCAAAAACUCUUAACUUGAGUUUGAUGUUUUAAUCCUUAAAAUAGAUUUUCGCACUAAGAUCAUUAACAUGCAACCUUGUUUAUCUUACAUGCAUGGUGAUAAAACACAUCCAUGAUGUUCUAAAAACCAUUUUAACAAAAAGAAACCAAGUUUGAAGAAGAUGAAGAAGUAGAAGUAAAAUGCACAUGCAUGGCUUAAAUUGUUGUCUUAACAUAGAUUUGAUCAUGGAUUUUCACCAUUUCUAAUACAUGCAACAUGUUUUGGUGAGAAUCUACAAGCAUUAAAAUCAAAUAUUGUUUACAAGAAAAAAGAAUGCCUUAGAACAUCAGGAUAGAAGUGAAAAAGGCUAAAAAAAAUUGAAACUAUUGUUAUGAAUAUUCAAGAUAUGUAUGUUCUUUACCUUAAAUUUAUUUGUGGCUUGAAAAAUCCUUAUGGAUUUCCAUAAUUUCGUGGUUAAGAGGCUGUGGUUGUGGUGUUUGGAGAAAAAAAAAUUAGAGAGAAGGUAGAGAGAGUUUUCUAGAGAGAGAAAGAAGAGAGACGUGUGUAUGUUGGAGAAUGAGAGUGAGAGAGAGAGAGAGAUAUGGGGAGGGAGAGAACGAAUUUUAGGGGAUAAUACCCCUUUCUAAUUCAUUUUCUUUUAUAAAUUUUAAUUUCUUUUAUAAAAUAUCUCAAUUUAUAUAUAAAAUGUGCACUAAAAUCAAGUUUUUAUUCUUAAAACCUUGAUUUUUUGAUUUAUAAAUUAAGGUUAAAUGUUAAUGAGUUAAAUUUUAUUUUCCUUGAAUGCAUUUUCUUAAUUUUAAUUAUUAUUAGAUCAUAAUAUGAGGUUCAUAAGUAUUUUUAUAGAAGUUUUAAGGUUAGAUUUCAUAAAUUUAGGUUUUUAAGGUAUUUAGGGUUUUUGAGAGUUUAUAAAUCUUUAGAUAUGAAAAUCAAUAGAAUCUUUGGGACUUCAAAUUAUCUUAUGUUAUUAUAACUCUUGUAUAGUUAUAAAUAAUGUUUGUAACUUAUUUUAUCGGUUUAUUGGCAUUCUAUGUAGUGGUUUCCUCAUUCAAGUGAAAUUGAGGAAUCAAGUAUACUAGUCAUAGUUUUCAACUUUGACUUAAGUUUCUAUGAGACUUGGACCUAAUUUAUACCACAAGAUCAAGUGCAUGAUGUGUAUAUGGUUCAUCAAAAGGUGAUCGAGUCAAAGAGUGACCCGGAUAUGGAUAGUCCCUACAGUUAAGUAGUUAUAGAAUUCACAUAUCAAUGUGAAAUCUAAGUAGAUUAUCCGUUGUUUCUAAUUGUUUUCAAGUUUCUAUUAGGUUAUAACUUAGCUUCUAGUUACUAAGUAUAGUAAGUGUUAGGCCUAUACGUGCAACUAAGUUUCUCAAUUCUAGAACCGACUCGAAUUUUGAAGGUUGUCACAGUCUCCCCCGGUUGAAAGAAUUUUUCCCGAAAUUCAAUUUUGGACGUAUUCUAUUAGAACUCAGCCGACUACAAUUGUAUAGUUGGAGAGGUUAUGACAUGAAUAGCUCUUUGAUUAUUUUGGGUUAAUUCCUCAAUGGAAGAGCCCAAUUCUUUAGCUAUAAUCAAAUUAGCGUUUCCUUAAUUCGAGUUCUACAGUCUAGAUUGUGGGAAAUUAGGAUAUGGAAAUCAUGAUCCAACCAUGGCGACCUAGUAGAAAAAGAUCAUGUAGUUAGAUAUUAUCUGACUUAAAAGAGCGCUAUAAGUUUUGCUGAAGCACCAAAUCAACUGAGCGUUAAAUCCACAUUGAUCCUUAAGAUGAAUUCUAAAUUAGCACUAAGUGUAAAUUCAGCGCCUAAUAAAGAAGAUAUUAGGAACAAUUAGUUCACUUCCGGGUUAGCUACUACAUCUGGAAAGAUAUAUUCCCAAAUAAUAAGGGGUAGCACGAAUGAAAGGGAAGUGAUCGAGGGAAUGUUCCUAAAAUACAUACUAAGGGUAGGAAACGACGUUUUGGUACAUCUCAUAGGUAAAGGCUAUUUAAUGUCGUCUACAAAAUAAAUUACAAAAUGAUUGAGGAUCUAUGUGACUAUAAUUACUACUACGGUUACUCUUACAAUAAUAGAACUAUAUUCGAAGACUAUAUAUAAUUAGAGAGUCAUUGUUUCUAAUGAAGGCGGUGAAAGUUUAUGAUAUUUUAAAUCUCAUUGUGUAGAUAGCAUUUUAAGUGUUUAGAAGUGAUAAAAUCUCAUUGUCAUCAAAAUGUGUGUUUAGAAAUGAUAAUUAAUCUCACUAUUAUCAAAAUGUGUAAUGAUUCCAAGAUAAUGAAGAUACAUGUGUGGCGAUCAAACGAAGUAGUAAAAUAAUAUAAAGAUUAAUUAAGGUUACAUGUUUAAGUCAUCAAUAAGGGAAUUUAUACAUAAAUAUUUUGAUUACUCUUUUGAAAAAAAUUGUCUAGUUGUUUAAGUUAUGACAAAUUCAAGCUUACGAGUUAGAACAUUUAUGGAAACAAGGUUAUGAGUGUACGAACUCAUUGAAAAAUUACAAAGUAGAAUGUUAUUUUAACAAAUGUGUAAAAAUAUCGAUCAUUGAAAAUAGUGUAUUCUUAAUUUAGUGUUUCUACAAAAUCAAACAUUUAAGGAAUAGAUAAUAGUAAAAUUCAAGACUUUUCAUGUAUUUAAGAAAAGAAGAAACAUAAGAAAACAUAUCCGUCACAUAUAUUUUUCCGGAUAUAGAAAAAUGAUAAGAACGAGGGUAUUCAUCUUGUGUAUUAAUUAUAAGGAAAAAUACAAUGAAAGUUGCAUUUUAAAUCAAGUUUCCGAAUUUAGAGCGAAAGAGAAAAUGUAAAUAAGGAUCACUUGUUUCUAGUAGCUUUCAAAAUAAAAACAAAAUGUAUAUGUGUCACACCCCGAAAACCCAAGGCGAAAACAUUUUCGGGGCGGACUCCACGUUGAGUAUCAAAUCCAAUGUACAUAGUAAGCAAAGUAAACAACGAUUACAUUACAUAUAAAGAUUUUACAUUUGUUUUAAAGUAAAAAGUAUUACAAGUGUGAUACAUAUGUAUAUAUAUAUNUAUAUAUAUAUAUAUAUAUAUAGGCAAAAGUAAGACGUGUCUUCUACGCACUCCGUCUUCGCCAAAAGGAUCAUUGGGUACCUGUCUAAUGCGGACCUGAGAAUACAAGCAGUUUGAAAAUCAGCAUAAAGCUGGUGAGUUCAUAAGCGGUUUUGUUUUCUGAAAAUGUAUUUGUUUCCUUUCUGUUUUCUGAAAAAGUUAUACACCAAGAAAAUCCCAUAUUUUCUUAACGUUGGUUACUAAUCCGAAAUGUAAUGUAAAAGAUGUAUACUGAAAACAUGGUUACUCUUGUGAAUUGUAAAGUUUAGUUAUCUAGUUUGUUACACGAAUCUAGUUAUGUACAAAUGUUACCCCAGGAAAAUCCCAUAUUUUCCUGAAAGUUGAUUACCAAUCUAUAAUGUGAAAGAUGUAUACUGAAAACCUGGUUGUCCUUGUGAAUUGUAUUAGUUUUAACGCGUAUAUAAAACUAAUAUGUACAAAGUAAACCAGUUCCUGAAUCCAUUAUUACUAAAUAGUAAAUCUCUGUUAUCCAAAUUGCGAGUUCCAUAACCAUACAAUAGACUAGAUAUGGCAAUAUGUAGUCCACAUCACCUUAUGACUUUCGCCACCCUUGAACCUUUCGGUUUGGCUGUAGCUAGCAGCCAGGUGUGGGGUAGUCAGUCCCGUAUAGAUCUAUACACUCAAGUCAUGCUCCCUAUCUAAGAGAUUCUGGUUACGGGUGCGGUCCUCCACUCGCAUAUCUCUGUAGAGUGUUCUCCGAGGGCGUGUCUCCAAUUUAUAGGAAUAACAAAUUUACUAGUAAUAACGCAGAAAGAUCAAAUGACGAUCCUCCACUCGCGUAUCUCACUGGAGUGUUACCGAGGACAAAAACAAUAUACUAAGUUUCAUGUUCAAAGUUCAAAUGUUAUGCUUUUAACUAUUAUAUUGUGGAAACCAUUUGUGAAAAAUAUAAAGUAUAACAUUUUAUAAUGCUUUUCACAAAUAAGAUGAUAAUGUGUUCUGCAAGUUCAUAUUGUUAUUAGAUAUGAUUAUCAGUGUUAAAAGCAUAUGUAAUAUGAAACAUAACACAUGUAAAGCAAGUUUUGAGUACAAGUAUUCCUUGUAUGUUGCUUGUAUUCUCCCCCUGAAAACAGUGAAAAACAUUGAAAAAGGGUAGGGGUAUGAACUCACCAGACGAGAAAACGCGACGAUUUGGAUGCUAAAUGUCGGUUCGGGGCUUGUUAACGCGCGAGGUUCCUAUGUAAUUUAUAAUGAUAUACAAAUAUAUCUGAUUAGAAUUUAAUUCACUAAUUAGACAUGAUCAUACACCCAAUUACAAGAAAACACUUCAAAUUAAGUGUUUGGAGUGACCCGGGUGACAUCUACGGAUGUAUAGUGCUUGGAUAAUGUGUUUACUCUUCAAGAGUAAACUCCUCAUGGAGUUUUCGGCCCUAAUACCAACUCCACAUGAUUUCACGGCCGUGAACUCAGUGAUGAGGGUUGUAUGGUGUCAAAUGGUCAAUUAACACUUGAGGGAUGAUGCUAGGUUUGGUUCUAGAGCAUUGAAAAAGGAUUAAACCACCAAAUGGACCACUUAAAGGAGUUUACGGCAGUAAACUAGGAGUUUACCACCGUAAGCUCCCCUAAAUCCAUUUCGUAUACGAUUUGGUGGUGUAAGGUCAAUCACAUGUGAUUUAAACACAUUUUACCAGUAAAGGGGUGAAUUUAGGGCGUCAUUUGACAUGUGUUUAUGAGUUUACGGCCCAGGAACCCAUCCUUGGGGGGUUUACGGCCGUAAGCUCCUAAAGGGAAGGUUUUUUUCAUGCUUAAGGCCCCUAAAUUGAUUUUGGUUGAUUCUAGAAUUUAAUCCAAGGCUAGUGGUAUAUUUAAGUGGCAUUUAAACACUUGAAAUUGAGUUUACUACCCACGAAUAUGAGUUUACGGCCCAAGCAUGUUCUUGGGCUGUAAAAUCAAGUUUACUCCCAAAAAGUUAAGUUUAAGGUAUUCUAAGUCCAUUCCAUUAAGCCAUCUAGCGAUAUCUGAGCUCCAAAGGUUGAUUAGAAGGGUCUUUGGGCUCCAAAACCCAUUUUAUAUUAGUUCACGGCCUAGGACUGUUCUAGGGCCGUAAACUCAUGAUAAUGGUCCUAUUCCAUAGUUUGACCACGAAUUUGGAAGCUAGAGAGGUUGUACAACAAGUUAGGAAGGUUACCUUGAUGAAAUGGAGCUUUAAUAUGAUGAUUUUGGACAUUAAGUUUGGAUUGAGGAGAAAGGUUAGAGAGAGAGUAGUGAGAGAGUACAAAAGCUUCAAAUGGAAGCUUAAUUCACUUUAAAUAUGUUCCAAGUUCGGGACACGGUGGAAUUCUACCCGAUACUGACGUUAGACGUGGCUUUUGGUCGCACCCGAUUAAGUUGUCGUAACCCGAUAUUGUCGAUUCUAAAAAUUUUCCGGUUACUAAUAUGGGGUGAUAAUAUGAGUUCUAAACGCGUUAGGACACCCAUUAAGUCAUAGUAGAAAUCCCACAUUUAUGACUUAACUUAAUGACGUAAACGGAAGUGAAAUUCGAAAAAAGAUGCGAAUACUUCUGCUUCAUCGAGUCUUCACGCUCCCAAGUGAAUUCCAGUCCCCGCUUGGCAUUCUAGCGAACCUUCACUAUCGGGAUGCUACUUUGUUUCGUACGUUUGAUGUCUCGAUCCAUGAUUUCGAUUGGUUCUUCCACGAAGUUCAAUUUUUCGUUGAUCUCAAUCUCAUCUAGAGGAAUCACGAGGGUUUCAUCGGAUAAGUACUUCUUAAGGUUAGAGACAUGGAAGACAGGAUGAAUGUUGCUGAGUUCAUGGGGUAAUCGAAGUUUAUAGGCUACCGGACCGAUCCUGGCAAGGAUCUCGAAGGGUCCAAUGUACCUCGGGUUAAGUUUCCCACGUUUUGCAAAGUGUACCAUGCCUUUCCAGGGCGAGACCUUCAACAUGACACGGUCUCCAACCUGGAAUUCCAGAGGUUUCCGUUGAUUAUCGACAUAACUCUUUUGGCGAUCUCGUGAAGCUUUCAAUCGCUCCCAGAUUUGGAUGAUCUUUUCGGUGGUUUUGCGAAUGAUUUCAGGACCAGUGAGAGCACUGUCAGGGAAUCGACUCUUGGGUAGCUGUGUUUCCCCUACCUCAGCCCAGCAUAGAGGGGAUAUGCACUUGCGACCGUCGAGGGCUUUAAACAAAGCAGCCUUGAUGCUGGUGUGGUAACUGUUGUUGUACGAGAACUCGGUCAAAGGCAAAUGUGUGUCCCACGACUUUCCGAAAUCGAUGACACAUGCUCUAAGCAUGUCUUCCAGAGUUUGGAUAGUUCUCUCACUCUGUCUAUUGGUCUGAGGAUGAUAGGCCGUACUCAUGUCUAGCCUCGUUCCAAGAGCUUUCUGAAGGGACUGCCAAAACCUAGAGGUAAACCUGCUAUCUCGGUCGGAGAUAAUGGACGCAGGUACACCGUGUAGUCAGACUACCUCCUGGAUGUAGAUCCGCGCGAGUCUUUCCAUCUUGAAUGAUUCUUUGAUCUAGAUGAAGUGAGCAGAUUUUGUCAAACGAUCGACAAGUACCCAAAUGGUGUCAUACCCACUCGGACACUUGGGUAACUUGGUGAUGAAGUCCAUGGUAAUCAUUUCCCAUUUCCACUCCGGUAUUUCGGGUUGCUGGAGCAGACCUGAGGGUUUCUGUUACUCAAAUUUCACCUUGGCGAAAUCAAGCACUUGCCCACAAAUGUAGCGAUCUCAACUUUCAUGUUGUGCCACCAGUAUUGUUUCUUAAGAUCCAAGUACAUCUUAUCAGAACUCGGGUGAAUGGAGUAUCUAGUCUUGUGUGCUUCCUCCAUGAAAAUUUCCCUGAAUCCUCCGAACUUAGGGAUCCAGACUCGGUCCAUGAAACAGUUGAAGAGAAUUGUUAUCGAGAAUUGAGAAAAGAAAAGAUAGAUUUGAACGAUUGAAGAUGAAGAACACACAGAGUAAAUAUUAAUCAGAUCUCAUAUUGAUUAAGACUGAUUACAAAAUAAGCAGAAGAUAGAUUUGAGUUUUGACUUCGUGUUUUUCUACUUCUAGCCUUAGUCCCUAUUUAUAGGGAACUUACAAAAAAUAUACUAAGUCUAUACAUUUUCACUUCGCAUACAAAAUCACUUAGUAAAAUAACAUAAAAUGCGAAACAAUACAAUACACUAUUUUCGAAUUUUUACAAUUUACAUCUACAUUCUCCCCCUUUGUAAACAGUCGAUGCAAUUCAACUCAAAAGCUUUUGAAUUGCAGAGUGAAUUGUCCUUCGCACUUCUCCAUACCAGGAGAUCACCUUCUUCAGAUCUUUCUUGUCUCCUUCGUUAUUCUUCUUGUAGUUAUUCAUACGUACAAUGAAGUGCGUAUAUUGCGAAGAAUUAUAUCUUUCAAUCUCUGAGACUUUGAACAUAAAUUUCUUCGGUUUUCCUUUUGUAUGUAUUCCCGAAAACACCAUGCCAAAUGGUUUCAGGCAUAUCUCACCAACAACAUACUUCGACAAAGCAGAUUGUGUCAAAGUAUCCUCCCAUGGAACUUUUACUUCUCUUCCCAGCACAUUCGCUAAUUCUUCAUCUGUAAGAGCCAAACAAUCGAAAUAGUUAUCGAUGUAUGUCUUCACGUGAGCGAAUCCAACCUUGAACACAUCUGUCUCAGAGCCUUUGAGAUUGUUUUCUUCCAUAUGCUUCAGGAUCAGAGCUACUUGAAUUAAAUCGUUGCAGUUCAUCAAUGGAAAAUCAGCUAUUGUGAAGUCAUAUUGUUUGUUGUCAGCUCUGAUAACAAAAUAUCGAAAAUUUUGAAGCAUGUCUUCAAACAAAACAUCCUUCUUUAUUGUCAGCAACUUUUUGAUCUUCAUCAACGACCAAACUUCAUUUGGAUUCUUCCCCAAGACAGCAUGAAAUCUGAUUUUCAUAUGAGUAUAAUCAUCCGGAUUAUCAAAUUUCUCACUGAUCUUGUAUUGAGCUGUGAUGAACAACAUCUCAUUUAUUGGGAAAUCCAAUUGACAAUGAUCUGAGUUCGCAAUAUCAUAACUUCUUUUCGGCUUCUUCUCAAACUCAUACAUCUCCCUUCCUACAACUUUCGACUCUAUUGUUUCAUAAGAGUAAAGUUUCGUAGGAUCUCCUUUGUUCAUGGAGGGAGGAUCACUUGCCCUUUGUCUCAUGAUGCUUUGAACUUGUCUCAUCCUCUCCAACUCAGCCUCUGCAUCAGCUUUCAACUCCUCCUUCGACUUUUCAUACAAUAUUCCUUUUCCUUUUCCUAUCACAUCUUUCUGAGGUUUUGAGCUUGAACCUCCUUCGUUUUCUCCAAUAACAAUACCCUUGGAAACUGUUUUUGUGGUAAUUGUAGUUGAAGAAAUCGGUUUCGUAGGAAUAGGAAGAGUAGCUACAAGCUGAGUCGAUAUCACUUUUACCACUGUUUUUGCCUUCUCUUCUUUACUUCGACUUUUCUCUCCCCCUUGCACCCCUGUGAAAACAGGUGGAGCACUCUUCGGUAGUAAAGAAGUGAAAUUCGUAAGUGGAGCAAGAGCUUUUUGAAUAGCUUGUUCUAAAGUAUUAAUCUUUAGAGACAAAAAUUCAGGAUUAAGGAUUUGUGAUGAAGAAGAAUUCGAAACUGUUGAUUUAAGCUCAGUGACCAACUUUAUCAGUUGAUCAAACUUCUCCGUUGUUGCGGCUUGAUGAGUUUCAAGAACAAGAAUAUCAUUGAGCUUUGGGAGUUGAGAAGAAAUCUCCACAAUUUGCUUUUGAAGAUAUGCUUGUUUUGUAUGAACAUCCUGAAGAUCCUUCGCAAGUUCAGACUUCAACUCCUGAAUCUUGAAGUUUACAUCCUCACGAACUUUCUUGACAUCUUGAAUAAAAAGAAGGUGACGUUCUUUUGUAGCAGCUUUGAGAUGUUGAACAGCAGAAGUAAAAUUGUUCCCUUGUGCUUUAACUCUGAGCUCAUUAUUUUUAUCGGAUUGAUCAACCUUCUCCAUGAUCCGUUUCUCAGCUCCUUUUAUCAUAACAUCAACCUCCAUAGCUGAUAUCGAAGACAUUCUACCAGAAUCGGCUUGCGAUUGGAUAAUGGCCUUUAACUUUUGAUUCAGAAUUUUAAACUGUUUUCCUGUCAUCAGCAUAUGAUCAGGAAUAUCUUCUUCGUCUGAAUCAAAAUGAAUGUCAUCAAGUAUUCCUCCAAAGGCACCUCCUUUGACUUCAGUAUCAGACAAUUGUUGCGAAGGUGGAGGAUUUUCGGGUGAUUGGGAUAGAAAAAGUGUUGUGAAUGGGUUUUGAAGGGCAUGAUCAAAUAUGGAUGAAGUGGUGGAUAAAGUGGUAAUAGGUAAUGAAAUGGGUAAAGAUGUUUGAAUUGUUGGUGCAACACUUAGGAUCGGUGCUCCCGUAUCAGAUACGUUGACAACCGUAUCGGAAAUAGGUACCUCCUCAGAAACUGAUUUGGUAAGAACUAUUUCGAGUGGGUUGGUUUGUGGAAUGGUGGUAGAAAUUUGCGAAGUUUGAAUUAUUGGUAAAGAGACAUUUACCAUAGAAGUGACAGGUGGAGUUUCCGGAACUACUUCUUCAUCAGAUGAUUCAUUGCGAAUCACCAUCUUUCUCCGUUUGACAAGCGUGCGUUGCAUGUUUUUGGCAACAUCUUCAGCCCGUUGUCUUUUCUUUCUUGGAGACACCGGUGCGGGAAUACUGCGAAUAGUAACUCCUUUACUACUCACUUCCACUUUGCGAAUUUGCUUCAGAACCCCAGACUUAGAAGGUAAGGGUUCCUUCUUCGAUUUGGAUAAAGUUUCUUCGGUUGGAAUAGCUUCAUCUUGUAUUGUUGGGGAGGAUGAACCAUUCGCAGUUUUCUUGUUAACUUUCUUUUUCUUCGAUGGAGUAGCAACAUCCGGUAAUACUCCAGUUUGAUCAGCUGUAUCAAUGUUUCACAAAUAUCUCACCAAAACUUUGUGAGUUGGAGAAACUUUGCGAAGCAUCGCAUCCAGAAUACGAGCCACACGAGAAAAAAUGGCCUCAUCAUCUUCUACAACUUUUGGAAAUUAAUAGAAGGAAAAUUCAGCAACUUCAACAUCUAUCAUCACUGGAAUUGCUUCUUUCUCAUAGACUUUUUCCAGGAUUAAGCUCCAGUAUCUUGCACAAGAAAUCCCCUUCUCCGAAUUUGUAUUUUCCAAGCUUUUAACAAAUUCCUUCCACAGCUGAGUUGCAUAAUCAACAUUGAUGUCAUAGUAUAUGCCCAUUACCAUAGCAUAUACUUCGACUCUUCCUCUAUCCAAUCCGACUGAUCUUCCUGUAAGACACCGUAGAAAAAUACCAAAAAGAAAAUUCCAGAUACAUGGCAAUCCAGACUUCCUGAAGUCACUUAUUUUCUCUAAGUCCGGUUGAUGCCCCAUCUCAUUGAACAUAUGAAUGAUCUGCAAGUUGACAAGUUUGAAAAAUGGAGGGUUGUUUGGAAUCUUCAAGAUUUCCACAAACAAGUUCUUGGACAGUUUAACCCGUUUGUUUUUGGUUAGAUUGAAAGUAAUCACAUCCGUCAUGUGAUUGUAUGAUGCUGUUGAAGCUGCACGAGAUAACCACACCAUAGGAACAGAGAAUGAACUGAACAUGGCAGUUGAUAAAGGUGAUCGUUUCAAUGCAACGAUAAGCAUCUUCAAUUCUUUUGGAUAAUCUGAAACAUUUGGAUCAACUUGGUAAUUGGUGCUUUGAAUCUUCAUCAGUGAUUGAGAAAGAACCUCAUCAGUGUUGGAAUUAGUGCCUGCCAUUGUUAGGGUUUGAAGAAAGAAAGUUGAAGUUUGGAUCAAGGUUUAAUCUUUGAAGUUUUGUGAGAGUUAUUGUUUGCGUAACCGUACAUAAUGUUCUUGAUCCCCCUUUUAUAGGUUACUCAAAAUUGAUUUGAAAUUAAAGCGGGAUACAUUUAAUGUUAUCCGAUGUGGCACCUUGAAACUCGGAUCAUGACUGCAAAAGAUAACUAUGUUUCAAAAAGUAACUGUUACAUCUCCUCGAAAACCGGAUAGUAUACCAACCAUUUUGAGUAUACAGCCUGUCAAGUAUCCGUUAUAAAAUUCGAACCGGUAAAACCCUUCGCAUGGAAGCAAGGCUCAUUCACUUUUAGGAUUUAAAGUGAAGUCAUAUGCCAGACUUGCGAAAUCAUCAGUUUGAGUUGGUUUUACUCAGAACCUCAAGGAUUUCAUGUGUGCAUUGUGUCAAUCGAAAUAAGAUAAGAAACAAGAAAUUUUGGAAUGUUGUGAUGUCAAAAAUUUAAUUUGACAUGAAUGCAGUAAAACCCCAGGCAAAGGUUGCUUCGUUAAUCAUCAAGAGAGAUAAUCAACAGCUUGUGUAGUUUCCCGUGAAUUACAAUCGAAUACUUGUAAAGAAGUAUCAAAGGGCUUCUUUUAAAAGUCAUUUUGGAUUGGUUUGAAAUUUCAUUACAUAUCAGCCUUAACAUAAGGUGAGAAAUUGUAAAUGAAAUUACUUGUUUGACCAGUGUAGUCAGUGACAAGUUGGCUUGUGAAAAUAUUUAUCAUGACAAGGAUUUGCGAAUAAAACAUACACUGAAAUCAUAUUCAAAAGAAAAUUUGUUCUGGAUCUUGUUGGGUAACAAACAUUCUUGGUUGUGAAUAUUUGAUCAAGACCACACAUGCGAAUUGAAUAUGAUUUGAAGUUUCGAAAUUUUUUAUACUGAAACAAAGGUUUUGUAAAAAUCUGGAACAAAGUUCCCCGUCAAUUCAUUAAGGUUUAUGAUUUUUGGGUUUCACUUUCAUCAUGGACUCAUGAUGUUAGAUCAUAAACUCAGAGUGGUGAUUUGUCUAGGUUUUGAUUGGUUUGAUCAAAAACCUCAAGGACAAAUAUCUUCAAAAAAAAUUUGGAGUGUAAGAAUUGUUUGGUUUAAAAAGAUUGGAUAAGAAUCGAAGUGUACCUCUGUUAUAAUGACCAAAACAGAAAACUCUUAACUCAUUUGAUAAGAGUAAGGUAGCUCGUUUUGACUUAUGCGAAUAUAAGCCUUUUUGGGAAGAAAUUUUCAUGAGAUAAUUUCAUUAAGGCUUUCUUUUCACACAUAGAGUCGUGUUGAGGCUUUUGCUCUACAUACAACAGCAUGCUUCUAGGGACAUCCUAACUAGUUUGUAAAACAAAUUUAAUACCUUCCCAUAGAAACACAAAUGUAUGACCACUUCGCAUUAUAGCCCUGUAUUAAAUUCUCAGCACACACAGUUUAAAGAACAAAGAAAACAAAAAUAUUUUUGUGAUUUUUGAAUUUUUCAAAAUUAAAGAACAAAAAAAAUAAAAUCUUUUUGUAUUUUUGAUUUUUUAAAAGUAAAAACAAAAAAAAUCUUUUUGUAUUUUUGAUUUUUCAAAAGAAAAGAAAAAACUUUACCGUAGUUGUCAUGAGCUCAAAUGCGAAAAGAUGUGGAUGCGAAACCAUGCGAAGCCUCUAAAUGAACAGUAACCUCUGAAUGAUGUUGACUCUUAUCUAGUGAACAAAACUUUUAGUCUUGUGUUGAUGAAAUUAAAUUCGCAUUAAUCAUCCCCAAACCUGCUAAAAUUCUAACAAAUGAUUUUUCAUCAAGAGGUUUUGUAAAAAUAUCAGCAAGUUGUUCAGUUGUUUUGACAAAAUGAAUUUCAAUAUUCCCAUCUUCCACAUGAUCUUUAAUAAAAUGAUAUCGAAGAGCAAUGUGUUUUGUCUUUGAAUGUUGUACUGGAUUGUGACAAAUGCGAAUUGCACUUUGCGAAUCACAAUACAAAGGAAUCUUUUUCAUGUUUAUUGCAUAAUCACGAAGUUGACUCUGAAUCCAGAUAAUUUGCGAAGUACAAGCAGCUGCAGAUAUGUAUUCUGCCUCAGCGGUUGAUAUAGCCACACAAGUCUGUUUCUUUGAUUGCCAGCUCACUAACUUUCCAUCCAAAAGUUGACAUCCACCAGUCGUACUUUUUCUGUCCAAAGUACAUCCUCCUAGAUCUGAGUCUGAAAAAGCUUGAAUGAAGAAUCCUGUUUUCGCAGGAUACCAUAGUCCUAAAGAAACAGUUCCCUUGAGAUAUCGAAAAAUAUUUUUCACUGCAGUCAAAUGAGGCUCUCUUGGAUUAGCUUGAAAUCUAGCACAACAACAAACCGAAAACAUAAUAUCAGGUCUACUUGCAGUUAAGUACAAUAAAGACCCUAUCAUGCUACGAUACAGUGUUAGAUCAACAGCAGGAGCAUCUAACGAAGGAGUUAGUCUUGUUCCUACUGCCAUAGGUACUCUGAGCUUUGUGCUAUUAAGCAUUCCAAACUUUUCAAGCAAGUUCUUCGUAUAUUUUUCUUGAUUGAUUAAGAUUCCUUCCCUGUUCUGUCUUAUAUUUAAACCAAGAAAAUUAUUAAUUUUUUUCCAUCAUGCUCAUUUCAAACUAACUUUUCAUUAAAUUCUCAAAUUCAAUUGACAAUGCUGGAUCAGUUGAACCAAAGAUAAUAUCAUCAACAUAAAUUUGAACAAGCAUUAGAUGACACCCAACUUUCUUGCGAAAUAAUGUGGGGUCAACUGAUCCUUGUUUAAAUUUAGAUUGUUUCAAGAAAUUUGUAAGUGUUGCGUACCAGGCCCUUGGUGCUUGUUUUAACCCAUACACAGCUUUGUCAAGGAUAUACACAUGAUCAGGAUGCUCAUUGUUUACAAAUCCUGGUGGUUGUUCAACAUACACUGUUUCUUCGAGUUUUCCAUUUAAGAAUGCACAUUUAACAUCCAUUUGAUAAACAUCAAAGUCUUUGUGAGCUGCAUAGGCUAAAAAUAUGCGAACUGCUUCAAGUCUUGCAACAGGUGCAAAUGUUUCUUCAUAGUCAAUGCCUUCUUGUUGCGAAUAACCUUUAACUACUAGUCUUGCUUUAUUUCGAAUAAUAUUGCCAUCUUUGUCGGUUUUGUUUUUAAAAAUCCAUUUUAAUCCAACAAUCGAAACAUCAGAAGGUUUAGAAACUAAUCUCCAAACCUUGUUUCGUUCAAAUUCAGCCAAUUCAGAUUGCAUAGCAACAACCCAAUCUGAGUGUUCCAUAGCAUUCUUUACUGUUUUUGGCUCUAUUUUCAAAAUAAAGAUAUUAAACAUACAAAGUUCUUUGUUUGCAUUCAGUACCUCAUUUUUCGCACGAAGUUGUGCUCUAGUCAACACAUCUUCUUGUGGAUUACCAAUUACCUGUUCUUUUGGAUGAUUUCUUGUCCAUUUCUGAAGUGGUGGAAAAUUUGGAUCAAAUUCUAAUGGUGCAUCUUCAUACAUAUCUUCAUUUUCAGAUCCUGCAACAGAAAAGUUAUCAUUAAAUUCAUGAAAUUCUUCAUUUUUAUCAAGAUUAAUUGUCUCUGUUUCAUCAUGCUCCCCCUCAACAUGAUCUGCAUCUUGAUACUCCCCCUCAAAAUGAUGUUCUUGUUGAUUUUGCGAAUGCUCCCCCUCAACUUGAUGAUUCAUAAUUUCUUUCUCCCCUUCAAAAUUUGGCAAACAAUCUUCAUGAAUACUCGUAUGUUUUGAAGAUUCUGAUGUUUGAUUAUCUGGAGCAUUAUUUUCUGCAUCAAUUGCCCUGUCAGGAAUUCCGAAAAUUAAGUCAUAAUCAAAAUCAUUGAUUUCAGAAUUAUCAAUUUGAGUAUUUGAAUCCACAAGUAUUGGUUUAUUAUCGAAUUUACUAUCAAUUUGUUUAAGAUAGUAAUCAUCAAAUGUUAAAUUGAAAGUUUCUUCAAUUUUUCUUGUUCGUUUAUUUAGCACUCUGUAUGCAACUGAAUUCUGUGAAUAUCCUAAGAAGAUGCCUUCAUCAGCUUUAGCUUGAAACUUGGACAAAUUAUCUUUCAGAUUCAUGAUAAAGCACCUGCAACCAAAAACAUGAAAGAAUUUUACAUUAGGUUUCCGAUUAUUGAUUAUUUCAUAUGGAGUAACAUUAAAUCUUCGAUGAAUGUAUGAUCGAUUCUGAGUAAAACAUGUUGUGGACACAACUUCUGCCCAAAGAUAUUGAGGUAGAUUCGCAUAUGUCAACAUGGUUCUGGCAGCUUCGCAUAGAGAUCGAUUUCUUCUUUCAACUACACCAUUUUGUUGUGGUGUAUAUGGUGAUGAAAAAUUAUGCGAAAUGCCUUUGCUUUUGAGAAAACUGUCAAGAGUUUGAUUUUUAAACUCAGAACCAUUAUCACUUUUAAUUUUUCGUACAUUCUUCUUCAGACUAAUUUCAAUCUUUUUGAUAAAAUCAAUCAUCGUCUGAGCAACUUCAGAUUUCAACCUGAGAAAAAACACCCACGUGAAUCUAGAGAAAUCAUCUACAACAACUAAAAUAUACCGCUUUUUAUUUAUUGUUGCAACAGUUGAUGGUCCACAUAGAUCAAUGUGAAGAAGUUCCAAUGGAUCUACUAUUUUUGAAUCUAUCACAAUCGGAUGACCCUUUCGAUGUUGUUUUCCUUGUUCGCAAGCUGCACACAAAGAAUCAUUGUCAAAUUUUAGUACUGGUAACCCUCGAACUAAAUCUUCAGUUACAAGUUUAUUUAUAUUUCGAAAGUUCAAGUGUGACAAUCUUCUAUGCCAAAGCCAACUAAGAUCAUUGGAUGCUUUUGAUAGUAAACACACAGCUGGUUUUCCCACAAUCGGUUUGAUGUCCAGUGUAAACAUAUCACCAUAUCUUUUGGAUUUGAGGAGUAUUUCAUUCGUCUUGACAUUUGAAAUGAUACUUCCUUCUUCAUUGAAUACAACUUGAUUUCCAGUACCCACAACAAGUUGUGAUACACUUAUCAAAUUAUGUUGAAGUCCUUCAACAUAUGCCACUCUGUUUACUGUGAAGUUUCCAUUUGUGACUUUCCCAUAUCCUUUCACUUGACACUUGUGAUUAUUUCCAAAUUUGACAACUCCAGCAUUUUCCAAGCUUCUGUAAUCUCGCAAAUUUUCUUUUCUUCCAGUCAUGUGACGAGAGCAACCACUAUCAAUGUACCAUUUCAUGUCAUAUUGCUCGUCACAUAUCACCUGCAUUUAUUGAAAAAAUUUAGGAACCCAAGACUUUUUGGGUCCAUCAUUAGUAGAAUGAAACAAAUUUUUGGAAUUUAAGAACCAUGUUUUCACUUUGUUUGUAACUGAAUCAAUUAUAUCAACAUCAUCAGUUCUAGAUUUUGAAAUAUAAUCAUUCAAUAAUUUUGGAUUUCCAUUAAUUGUAAUCUUAUCCUUCACAACAUUCGCAUUUUUGAUAACUGGUUUCCAUUUUUGAACUGGAACUUGCGAAUUAUGAGAUGAUGCACUUUCAAUUGAAGAAUUAUUUGUGUACUUAUCAAAUGCACUUUUGAUUUGUUCUUCUGAAAAUUUUCCACUUUGAUAUUUCUUUCCUUUUCCUUCAAACCAAUGAUUGAACGUUCUAACAUCAGAUUUUCCUUUUGUAUAUGAAACUUUGUUUGGUUUUGAUAUUGAAGGAUUUGGAAAAUUUGGUUGUUUUGGUGAAAAUUUCUUUUUGACUUGAGUUGAGUUCUUCAAACUUGAGGAAGUAUUCGUGAAUUUGCCAACAUUUUGAAACUUUUGAUUAUUUGCAAAUUUUUGCGAAUUCUCAAAUUUUCGAUUGUUGUCAUAUUUGCGAACAUAUGGAACCUUGUCAACAGAGUUGAUUUGUUUAUGAAAACUUGAUGAUGUUUUUGAAAUUUGCUCUUUUUCAUCUCUUGAUUUUUCAUUAGACACAACUUGCCAGAAUAUUGCUUUUCUUGCUUUUCUUUUUGAAACAUUAUUUUCUGUUGAAAAAUUUCCAACCAUCAAUUUGAAUUCAUGAGAGUUUAGUUUCACUUCAACCUUUGGUUUUUCAUCUUUUUCAAAAACUUUGUUUGAUUUUUCACCUUUAACCACCCAUUUUUGUGUUGAUUUUUGUUUUUGAAACACAUAAGGAUUUUUGGUUAAAUUGUUUUCUUCUGUGCUUUGAUUUGCGAAAAAACCUUCAGUUGUGGACUUUUGAUUAUCUUUUUCAAUCAUUUUAUUAAAAUCAGGAUGAACUUUCUCAGCAUUUCCAGUAGUGACAAAAACUUGAUUUGGAAAAAUUGUUUUAUCAGUACAUACAAAAUUUGGAUAUACCACAGUGUUGGUUUCCAAAUAAUGUGCGCCUUUAUCAUUUAAAAUUUUAUCAAAUUCUUUUGUAUUUUCAAACACUUGAUCAACUACAAUCCUUUGAGGUGUUUCAGUUGAAACUUUCUUUUCUUCUUUAUUUACAUCUGUGUCAUCAGAUUUCCAGCUUUCAACUUCCACAUUAUCAAACUUACAAUGUUGCGAAGUUGAAGGUUUAUCAAUUUCAUCCUCUACUAUUGAAUCAACUAUUAUUUCUUUACCUUUGAUCUUAGAUGUGAUAUUAAUGAUUGACAAUUGAGAACAAUCAACCUCUUCUUCCUCUUCUAUCUCACUGAUUUCACUCACAUUAUCAGAAUUUUCAUCAAUAUCAGCAUAAUUGAAUUGUGAGGCAAGAUUUGAAUUUUCAUUUUUCUUUAUGAUUUUCACUUGUUCACUCUUUGUUAAACUUUCAUUGACAAUGUUAACCAACUCAUCAACAUUCAGAAAUUCAUCAAUUUGACAAUACCANCCAUAUGAAUAUCUAUCAUCAGGUAUUUUGUCAAAUUGAGCAAUUGUACUUUCGCAAUCAUAAGAAACAACAUCAACUUUUUUACGUCCAUACUCAAGAAAAGGUAAAAGUUUCCUAUGUUGUUCUUCGCUAAUAUCAGAAGAAUGAUGUAAAGCUGCUAAUUUUGCAUACAGUCGUUUUGCAGAAUUACAAUAUGUGUUUCUUUAUGCUAGCAAUAACCUGACAUCAUUAGUAAGAUUAUUCCUAUCACAAUCUAUAUUUUUGACUUGCAUUUCCAAUUUUUCAACUCUGCUCUUCUUUAUUUCUAAAUCUCUUCAUGUCUCACUAAGUUGCAAAUUUAAUUUCUUAGCUUCAUUACUAGCAGACACAAUAACAGAAUCAAAAUAAGCCACAGUAUCAUCAAAUGAAACAAUUUCAGCAUCAUAAGCAGAUAAAGGAAUAUUAAAAGAUUCAAGAAUUGCACGUACCUUGGUUGUCAUGGGUGACAUGUCAGUGGAUUUAGACACAAAACAUAUCCCUGAAAUGUUCUCUUCGCAAUCCUCAAAACUUGCGAACAUUGCUCCAUGUGUGGGAUGCCUCAUUUCCUCAUCAUCAGAUCCUGAAGACCAGAUCUGAUAAGUUCCACUUUCUUCUUCAGCAGAUUCUCCCUUAGCAACUAAAGACACUCCUUUGGUCUUAGCACGUAAUUCUUCAAUCUUUUCGGAGUAGUAUGCUUCAUCUUUAACUUUUUCUUUCUUCUCUUCUUUCUUUCGCAACAUGCAAUCGGCUGCGAAAUGAUUCGCACCAUUGCAAUAGUGACAGUAAAUUCCUGAAUCACCCUUCAACUGUUUCUCUUCAUCGCAUUUUUCUGUUUUUCAUCUAUUUUCUCCAUUUUCUUUCUCUCCUCCCCUCCAGUUCUUGUGACAACAUUUUUCGAAUCACUAUUCUUUCCUUUUGGAUUAAAAGGCUUUUUGAAAAACUUCUUAACUCUGUUGUUUGAAUAGAAUGCUACAGCUUCAUCAUCGGAGUUCAUCAACAAUCCUUCUUCCUCUGAACCAUCUUUUUCAUCAGUUUCUGAUAUCUUUGAAACAAGAGCCAAAGGACCACCAAUAGCUAGUUUUGAUUCUUCAUACCUUUCUGAGACCUCACAUUCAGGUGUUUUCAGUUGAUUGUAGAGAUCAUUCAAUUUAGUUGUAUCAAAACUUUGUUGAUUCUUAAUCAUCAUGCUCACACUUCGUCAUUCCUUGCAAAGACCCAUAAUGAAAGUUAAAUUGAAUUCCAUGAGAGAUCUAGUGAUACCAUACCUAUUGCAGCGAAACAUAAGCUCAUUCAGACGAUCAUAGUAAUUUUCGAGAGUUUCUAUAUCCUUUUGUCUGAAUUCCUUCAGUUCAACAAGACAUUGCUUCACAGAGUUGAUCUUCGUCUUUUCGCUACCUUGAUACUUUUCUUUUAGAGUAUUCCUGAUGUCUUUGGUUGUUUUACAACUAUGAAUGUAAUUGUAAACCACAGGAGGUAGAGCACCUCUUAGUUCCCUCAUGCAUCUCUUUUCAUUAUUCUUCAUUCGUUUUCGUUGUUCUUCAACAUCAGUAGAUGUAGUGGAUGAUCCAAUUUGUUGAACAUUAGCAAGAGCUUGUACUGUUCCAUCGAUACAAUUCCAAAGUUCUUCAUCAAUUCCAUUUAAGUAAUCUUCCAUUCUAUCAGCCCACUGAUCAUAGUAUUCUGGAAUCAACAUCGGAAUUUUGGUUGAGGAACCAAGCAAGUGAGAGAAAGAAGUCAUUGUAUUCAUGUUGAAGUUCGCCAUUGAUGAACACAGAAAAUAUCUGAAAACUUGAAAACUUGAUGAAUUUCAGAAUUUGAUCAAAUGAAUUGAUCACAAAUCACGAAUCGAUUACUCGACUUAACAAUUCAAAUACAGAAUCAAUUCAAAUCUGAAGAUCAAAAGUGAUUUUCAAAACCAAAAAUGCGCGGAAAAUUUUGAGUAAAUUUUGCAACUCAAAAAGCAAAUGAUUCUUAUACGAUAAUCAGAUCUAAGCAGCUUGAAUCCUGCUCUGAUACCAAUUGAAGAGAAUUGUUAUCGAGAAUUGAGAAAAGAAAAGAUAGAUUUGAACGAUUGAAGAUGAAGAACACACAGAGUAAAUAUUAAUCAGAUCUCAUAUUGAUUAAGACUGAUUACAAAAUAAGCAGAAGAUAGAUUUGAGUUUCGACUUGGUGUUUUUCUACUUCUAGCCUUAGUCCCUAUUUAUAGGGAACUUACAAAAAAUAUACUAAGUCUAUACAUUUUCACUUCGCAUACAAAAUGACUUAGUAAAAUAACAUAAAAUGCGAAACAAUACAAUACACUAUUUUCGACUUUUUACAAUUUACAUCUACAACAGUACACUCCGUCACCUUUGAUCUCAAGUUUCUUGUCCAUUCCUCUCAAAGCUUCGCUUGACACGUUCUCGGGUUUGAGGGCUUCUAAUUGGGCCUCUCGGAUUUGCAUGGAUAGAUAAGGAUGGAUAGUCAUCGUCAGGGUCUUCACUUUUCGGCUUGAACUAUCCUUUCGGCUAAGGGCAUCUGCUACCACAUUGGCCUUACCGGGAUGGUAGCGGAUUUCACACUCAUAAUCGCUGAGUAGUUCUACCCAUCGCUGUUGCCUCAUGUUUAAGUCUUUCUGAUAAAAAAUGUGUUGCAGGCUCUUAUGGUCAGUGAAGAUUGUACACUUGGUUCCGUAGAGAUAAUAUCUCCAAAUCUUCAGUGCAAAGACUAUGGCUCCUAGUUCCAAGUCAUGAGUGGUAUAGUUGACCUUGUGUGCGUUCAGCUGUCUCGAGGCAUAUGUAAUCACCUUUCCUCUUUGCAUAAGCACACAGCCUAAGCCUUGGUUAGACGCAUCACAAUAAACAACGAAGUCCUCUAUUCCUUUAGGCAUGGACAAGACCGGUGCACUACACAAGGCUCGCUUUAAUGUUUGAAAUGCAUUUUCUUGCUUUUCACUCCAACAAAAAGGUACAUCUUUAUGUGUCAGAGUGGUUAGAGGUUUGGCAAUUCUGGAAAAAUUAUGGAUAAAUCUCCGGUAAUAGCCGACGCGACCCAAGAAUUGAUGAAUUUCUGUGGGUGUCUUCAGUGCCGACCAAUUCUCUAUCACUUUGAUCUUGGAUGGGUCCAUGUGAAUACCCUCUUCGCUUACCACGCGACCGAGGAAAGUUACCUUCCGAAUCCAUAAUUCACACUUGGAAAGUUUCGCAUACAGUUUUUUGGAUCUAAGGGUUUCCAACACUGACCUCAACUGUUGUUUGUGAUCUUCUUCGCUUCUGGAGUAGACAAGUAUGUCGUCAAUGAACACGAUGACGAACUUGCCUAAGAAGGGACAACACACCCGGUUCAUCAGGUCCAUGAACACUGCCGGUGCGUUGGUUAGACCGAAGGGCAUCAAUACAAAGUCGUAGUGUCGAUAUCGAGUCCUAAAAGUUGUUUUGGAAACAUCACUCUCAUGAACUCGCAGCUGAUGGUACUCUGACCUAAGGUCUAUCUUUUAGAAGUAGCUGGCUCCUUGAAGUUUGUCAAAGAGGUCAUCUAUUCGCGGAAGAGGAUAUCGGUUCUUGACAGUCAACUUAUUCAACUAACAGUAGUCGAUACACAUCCGGAAGGACCUAUCUUUCUCCUUCACAAAAAAAACCGGAGCUCCCUAGGGUAGGGAACUCGGUCUGAUGAACCCUUUACUGAGUAACUCGUUGAGUUGGCUAGAUAACUCCUGCAUUUAUGCUGGAGCUAGGCGAUAUGGAGACUUGGCUACGGGGGUAGCUCCAGGGAUUAGGUCAAUGUGAAAUUCGACUUGACGUUCAGGAGGAAUUCCCGGGAGCUCUUUGGGAAAGACAUCAGGAAAGUUGCAGACUUUGGGGAUGCUCGCGAGGUCUUUAACUUCCUGUUUCUCAUUGAUUACAUGGGCUAGGAAUGCUUGGCAUUCCUUUCGCAAGACUUUCUGAGAUUUGAUGCAGGAAAUGAUGCGAAGAUUGGAGUUGAGUUUAUCGCCAUAGAUUAUGAGAGUUUGACCCGCAAGGAGAUUGAGACGAAUGACUUUUUCGUAGCAAAGGAUAUCAGCAUGAUUGGGACUCAACCAAUCCAUGCCAAUGAUAACAUCAAAACUCUUUACGGAAACCGGCAUAAGAUCGAUGGGAAAUGAAUGAUCGUUCAAGGUAAGAGUACAACCUAUGAAUACAUCGCUAGUGCUCUCUUUCUCACCGUUAGCCAUCUCGACGGUAAACGUCCCGGUUAAUGGUUAAGGAUUAGGUUUAAGAUUAUGUUUGAACGAAUGACUAACAAAGAUUCUUUCAGAAAUCGAAUCAAAAAGAAUACUAGAAUAAGAUUUGUCGAGAAGGAACGUACCCGAAACAACGGUGGGAUCGGCGACUGGCUCCUCCCGUCCCAUGGCAAGGAUUCUCCCGGUAUUAUCAGCUAUUGUAACAACAGGAAAAUUCAGGUCAAAAUUUAAACUUUUAUAAAACCGUAAUUAAGUAUACUAAGUGGUAGAUAUCGUAACAAGGUUUUCAUACAUAUAAAGAACACAAAAAUCCGAGUUAUAACGAAGAAGUUAUGACCAUUCUAAGAUUUCCGACAAAAUCGGCAACACCGAUUAAACGAAAAACGCGAAGUUCCAAUACAAUAAUUUUUAGCCUUAAAUAUCUAAAUGAAAGUCGUAGAUAUCAUUAAACCGUGAACAUACAUAAAAAGAACGUCCAAAUCUGACUUCGUAUGAGCAGGUUAUGAUUUUUCUAAGUUACGAAUAUAACAGUAUACGGCUAAAAACUCGAAAUAGAGAUCGAGAGAUAUUUAGCCGACGCAAACUAAAUGAGAAUUGAAGGUCUCAACAAUAGAAGCGCAACGGUAAAAAGUCUGACGGAAACGGACGUCGGAUGAAGGAGUUAUGGAACUUUAACGGACUUUUCCUGUCCCGACGUAUUAAAAAUAUAAUAUUAAAAAUAAACUCAAAAUUUGCCGAUAAUUUUCAUACUGUUGUUUUGACUAUCUUAUGAAGUUAUUAUCAUGCAAAACACCUCACAACACAAAUUUACCCUCUUGGGGUACAAUAUGUUUUAUAAAUCGAAAUAUGUUUUAUUUAUACAUUUACAUGCAAAUACAUCAUAUCAAGGGUAACCAUCUUUACUAAAUCAUUUUAUGCAUUGAAAGAACUUAUGAUUUAUGCUUUGUCAAACAUUGUGAAAAAGGACAAUCUUUGCAUACAAAACUAUUACUUUAAUACAGACUUAGUUGAGAAUCCGUGAGACAUGUACACCUUCAAAUACUGCCUUUUACUAGAAGGUAUCGUACAAGUCCUGUCUAUAACUAGAGUCUCCCGUUCGGAGAACGUGUCAAAUGUGUAUAGAUCUAUACGGGAAGUUAUGAUCCUGCACUCUAACUAUUAGCUACAGUCCGUCCUUUGGGGUGACAGUUUGUCAUAACGCUACGACGCUUGAAGAACGUCGCUACAGGCAUAUUAUGUUUAGUAUGGUUGUAAAACUCACCGAAUAUACAAUUAUUAUGGUAUUAUGCUUUUAUGAACGAGUAGCUAUUAAAACUAUUCUUCAUCUAACAAGUGCGAUCUACAUAUAGCUUUAUUAAAUAAAACUAUGCCACACCUUUUAAGCACGUUGGUUGCUUGCAAUUUUCGGUCUUAGAGACUGCCAGUUAUGUUAGGAAAAUAAGGGUUUUUCCUGCAUCUAAAAACAAACAACUAAUAGAAAAAUAAGGGAUUUUCCUCGUGCAAUUAUUUACAACUUGUAACACGAACAUUCAUAUGCAUUUCAUACUUUUAUAAGAAAAUAAGGGUUUUUCUUGGAAAACACAACAAAUCAUAUCUCAACUAUUAGCGAAAAUAUGGGAUUUUCUGGAUCUAAUACAUUCAUUUCAACACAACGAAUCAUAACUCUUUUCAUUUGAAAAUAUCGCAUUUUCUGGAAAACAUACACGAACUUUCAAAUGGCGUACAUUUUCUCAAAACACUACUUAUGAACUCACCAACUUAAUUGUUGACACUUUCUCUUUGAAAUAACUUGUAUUCUCAGGGAACCGCUAAGCAGGUUUGGAAAUCAACUUUUGGGGAUUAAACGUGCUGACGUUAAUUACUUCUUUUGAAAGAUGUUUAUGUAUUUAUCUUUUGAACAUGUAACGAAUACAAUUAUGUAAACAUUUUGGAAACCUUAAUAUAUAUGGUGGUGUGUACUUUCCUUUCUAUGAACUGUUAUGAUACUGAAUAUGACGUCCUCCGCCCCCGAACGUUUCCGCCAUUCUGGUUUGGGGGUGUGACAGAUUGGUAUCAGAGCAUUGUUUAUAGUGGAUUAAGUAUAUCAAAACCAUUUUUGGUAUACAACUAUAAACACAACUGGGCAAAAACACUCUGAGUAAGAGUCAUACUUUUAAAAUUAAAUUUAUUUAUUUAGUUUUUGUAAAGUAGGCAUGCAUGCAUUUCAUAUUAAUAACAGGGUCAGUAUCAUAAUUAAAACAAUAUAAAAGUAUUAUAAAUAAGUUGUGCAGUGCAGGUAUGCCUUGGGACAUGUAAUUGGAACUGGGAAGAAUAUAGCCUGAUCAACUAUAUUUGUCCGAGAGCCGACAAACGUAUGCCAAGGAGUGUCUGCAAUGGAAAACAAAUUUAAAACUUAACAAAAGCAUAUCGUUAAAGAAUACUAAGGGAGUAUUCGAGUACCUACAACCAUUAAACUUAAGGGUAAAUUCCAUCUGCUUUAGCUUAUAGUAAAUUCUUAACCCUUUUCUCGUAUAGACUCAAUGGAUGGAUUCCAUCACCCCGGUGACCCCUACUACCCCAACCAAGGUAAUGGAGAAAGGAUAGAGAAUGAUCCUAAUGAAGGAAUGCAAGAAGAAUCAAACUCAGAUCCCGAGGACAGUAACCUAACCUUAACGGCUCCAAUUCAAAAUCCUAAUCCUCGAUCGGAAUUUCAUGGCUCGACGCCCCUUUGGGCNCCUCGAUCGGAAUUUCAUGGCUCCACGCCCCUUUGGGCAACUAACCUGAAUAAGUGGAGCCGUGAACAGGAUCAACCCCUUCCAUUCAACGGAGACCGAAGCUUCUACAAUCUAAGCGAGGGAGGCUCAGUAGACAGAGUCCUUCCUAUAUUGGUUCGUCGGAUUUCUCGCAUUGGUGAAGAAGGACGGACGACCAUCCAUCGAACUGAGGAGAAUGAUGCGAACACUGGAGUCAACACAGUUCGCAUCCGAUUGUUAGGAUUAGCUCACGGGAGAAUCGUAAAUCGAAAUGAAGCAUUGCAGAGAGAGCUAAAGGCAACUCAAACCGAAGUGAUAGAACUUCGGGCACGCAAGGCAAGACAUGAACUACGUAUGCUCGAGAUGGAGUGUCAGUUGGCAGAAUCUUAGGCCCAUAUAGCCAGCUCGCGUAACAAAUAAUACCCGUCUGACUUCCAAAAUUUUGUCAUAGCAUAAGACCUCGGAUAAAGUCCUUACUUUUCUUAACCUUGUAAUCAGAGACCUUUAGAUAGGUCAAAUUUUCCUAACUACAAAAUGUAACGCACCACGUUUUAUAAUAUAUAUGAUGUAUUUCCUUUCUUAAACCCUUUGCAUUCCCCUCCAAUUCAUGAGUUUAUCUACUCUCAUUAUGAGUCGAACACAAAACCCUAUUCAAGGGUAAACCAAACUUCUGAUAUAACGAAUCACUAAUGCGCGACUUUCGAAUCAUUAAAACUUAUAGUUUUUCUUGUUAUUUCCUUAUCAGAACAAUGUGUCCUUGUAGAUCAGCAUGUAGAAACGCAACCCCAUCACCUCCCCAAUAUGACCCCAACAUAGUGCAAUCUGCUAUCACUGCAGCAGUAACAGCUGCACUGUCUCAAGCAAACUUUAGCGGCGCAGCAAGGACCGGAAAUAAUCAACUUACCAACGCAACCCCAUUCCUACGAUUGGACACCGCCACUUUGCAAGCUACAGUUAUAGCCACAGUGGCAGCCAUUAUAGCAUAUAAUAACUCUGUCAACUCAAGCAGGGAAGGAAACGAUAUCAAAAAUCCUAAUCAAAGAAACAAUUUAAGUCACCUACCAGUAGCUACCUAUAAGAAUACCACAAGGUGCGAACACAAGAACAUGAAACGAAAACCAUGGAGCGAGUGGGCAGGCAAAUCAACUCAAAGAAACGCCAAAAAGCAAUCAACAAACCAUACCCCUACACCCAAAAGGUCGUACAAUGGCAACCAGCCUAAGUGCAACCAAUGCAACUUUCAUCAUCACGGACCCUGCCGUGAAAUGCAUUGCGUUAGGUGCAAUCGAAAGGGACACACCGUCUGCUACUGUAGAGACCUAGCCCAACCAACUGCUCCAGCCACAAAUGUAGGAGUAGAUCGUGCUUGUUAUGAGUGUGGAGUAACAACACACUUCCGAAUGGACUGCCCGGAGUCAAACAUCAUGAAUGCUGGUGGAGGAGGCCGAGUAUUCGCAAUGGGCCAAGGGGAGGCUAUUGCAGACCCCACGGUUAUUCUGGUUACAUUUCUCCUCGAUAAUUUAUUUACAUACAUAUUCCAUAUGAUAGCUGGAAUGCAGAGGAGUUCCGUGAGUCACAAUUUUAAAAAUCUACUCGAACAAACACCCCAAUCAUUAAACAAAACUUUCAUAGUAGUAAUAAUAGAGAUAGACUAAAAAGCACUGAAAACACAUACGUAAAAUGCACUAUCCCACUAACGAACGUCUUACAAUGAGAAGUACCGACAUCGGCAUUCGACGUGGAUUGGUGUGGCCCUACCCAUACCAGUUCCAUGUGUUAUAAAAGACCCUUUCACUUUAACCAUCGACUAACGAAACCCGAUCGAUUUAUAACGACAAACCCGACACAAACCCCAAUUGGUUUCUAGUUUCAAAACCUCGAGGUACUCAUAUGAGGAAUCUUUACAACCUUCCCGUAGUAUCCCCCAACAUAUCAUUUAGAAAUACCACGCAUACAACAAGUCAAAUCCAAGCUCAGAAACUAGGAGGGAAUUCAACCAUUAGCUGCAAAACGUAGCUUCCCUAAUUCAUCGAGUGAAUAUGCUAACAUUUAGAAGAACAUAAGUAAAUAAACCCAAAACCACAUGAUCCCGAUCAGUCAAAGUGAUAGACGGGGUAAUGAAGGUCCGCGGAAACACUCACAUUAGGUUCUAGAUUCAUAAAGGAACAAAAGGAACAAAUGGACCAGAAGCAAUCAUGCCUGCACGCAAGAGUUGGAGUCCCAGUCAAUAUGCGAAUUUCGGGACGAAAUUCUCUCUAACGGGGGGAUUAUGUAACAACUGCAAAAUUCAGGUCAAAUUUUAAACUUUUAUAAAACCGUAAUUAAGUAUACUAAGUGGUAGAUAUCGUAACAAGGUUUUCAUACAUAUAAAGAACACAAAAAUCCGAGUUAUAACGAAGAAGUUAUGACCAUUCUAAGAUUUCUGACAAAACCGACAACACUGAUUAAAUGAAAAACGGGAAGUUCCAAUACAAUACUUUUUAGCCUUAAAUAUCUAAAUGAAAGUCGUACAUAUCAUUAAACCGUGAACAUACAUAAAAAGAACGUCAAAAUAUGACUUCGUAUGAGGAAGUUAUGAUUUUUCUAAGUUACGAAUAUAACAGUACACGGCUAAACACUCGAAAUAGAGAUCGAGAGACAUUUAGCCGACGCAAACUAAAUGAGAAUUGAAGGUCUCAACAAUAGAAGCGCAACGGUAAAAGUCUGACGGAAACGGACGUCGGAUGAAAGAGUUAUCGAACUUUAACGGACUUUUCCUGUCCCGACGUAUUAAAAAUAUAAUAUUAAAAAUAAACUCAAAAUUUGCCGACGGAGUCUAAAGGAAAGUUGUAGAUCGUAGUCUCAUGUUCGCGUGGAUAUAAAGAACAUCGAAAACGGAGUUCGUAUGACGAAGAUAUGAAUUUUCGAAGUUUGCUAAAAAAUAAAAAUAUAAAUUAAAUUAAAAAUCCGGUAUUAUCCGAAGGAGGAGUCAUCGGACCAAUCCGGGUUACGCCCAGCGUACCCUCGUACGCCCAGCGUACUCGGAUGAUAGGCUCCUGAUUGCCCACGCCGCUUCGAUGCUUCAUCCGAGGAUGCGGUAAGCCAUGACGUUGCGUACGCCCAGCGUACCCUCGCUAGUACGCCCAGCGUACGCGAGGCCUUCAGCCCCUAUAAAAGGGAUGCGAGGGUGCCAACCAUUUUUGCUAAUUUCCUUCCUUUCUCGCACCGAAGCUCUGUGUUUCAACCAAUCAGAACCAUCCUGAAGCCCCGGCUCCCAUACUCAAGCCCCGAAGAAAGUUUCACACUCCCGAGAUUCUCGAGAAUCCCAAGAAAAUCCGCUUUCUCGGGUGGAAGUUCUGCUCGGUUUUCGUCUCGCUUUCUUCAAUCUAUCAAGUGAGUUCAUACCCCUACAACCACACUUUAAAUGCUUUUUAAAUGCUUUUUACACACUUUUAACGGGGAAUACAAAUUAAAACACGACCUAAAUCGUGUGAAACAUCGAUCUUUUGCUAUACUUUUCAUAAUGUUGUUUUAACUAUCUUAUGAAGAUAUCAUCAUGCAGAACACCUCACAACACAACUUUACCCUCUUGGGGUACAAUAUGUUUUAUAAAUAGAAAUAUGUUUUAUCUAUACAUUUACAUACAAAUACAUCAUUUCAAGGGUCACCAUCUUUACUAAAUAAUUUUAUGCAUUCAAGGAACUUAUGAUUUAUGCUUUGUCAAACAUUGUGAAAAAGGAUAAUCUUUGCAUACAAAACUGUUACUUUAAUACAGACGUAGUUGAGAAUCUGUGAGACAUGUACAUCUUCAAAUACUGCCUGUUGCUAGAAGGUAUCGCUACAAGUCAUGUCUAUAACCAGAGUCUCCCAUUCGGAGAACGUGUCAAAUGUGUAUAGAUCUAUACGGAAACUCAUGAUCUCGCGCCCUGACUGUUAGCUACAGUCCGUCCUUUGGGGUGACAGUUUGUCAUAACGCUACGACGCCUGAAGAACGUCGCUACAGACAUAUUAUGUUUAGUAUGGUUAUAAAACUCACCGGAUAUACGAUUAUUACGGUAUUAUGCUUUUAUGAACGAGUAGCUAUUAAAACUACUCUUCAUCUAACAAGUGCGAUCUACGUAUAACUUUAUUAAAUAAAACUAUGCCACACCUUUUAAGCACGUCGGUUGCUUGCGAUUUUCGGUCAUAGAGACUGCCAGUUAUGUUAGGAAAAUAAGGGUUUUUCCUGCAUCUAAAAACAAACAACUAAUAGGAAAAUAAGGGUUUUUCCUGGUGCAAUUAUUUACAACUUGUAACAUGAACAUUCAUAUGCAUUUCAUACUUUUAUAAGAAAAUAAGGGUUUUUUCUUGGAAAACACAACAAAUCAUAUCUCAGCUAUUAGGGAAAAUAUGAGAUUUUCUGGAUCUAAUACAUUCAUUUCAACACAACGAAUCAUAACUCUUUUCAUUUGAAAAUACCGCGUUUUCUGGAAAACAUACACGAACUUUCGAAUGGCGUACAUUUUCUCAAAACACUACUUAUGAACUCACCAACUUAAUUGCUGACACUUUCUCUUUGAAAUAACUUGUAUUCUCGGGGAACCGCUAAGCAGGUUUGGAAAUCAACUUUUGGGGAUUAAACGUGCUGACGUUAAUUACUUGUUUUGAAAGAUGUUUAUGUAUUUAUCUUUUGAACAUGUAACGAAUACAAUUAUGUAAACAUUUUGUAAACCUUAAUAUAUAUGGUGGUGUGUAUUUUCCUUUCUAUGAACUGUUAUGAUACUGAAUAUGACGUCCUCCACCCCUGAAUGUGACAACUAUCAUCUUUUUGGGGCAGUUCCUCUUGAAAUGCCCGACUUCUCCACAAUUGUAGCAGGCUUGACCAACACCUGCUCCAGAAGAUUGAUUUGCGGAUUGCAUUGGUGCUUUGUAGAAUCGGACCGUCUGCCCCUUUUUACCAAAAUUGGUGCAUGACAGCUCAUGACAGGGGCCGGGGUUAUGGUGGAAUUUACACUUUUCACACUGGGGAAGGUUACCAGCAUACGUACUAGUAGGUGUUUGAGCUGUAGAUCCCACAACAGAAGCAGCAACAACGGGGGUAGUAGCAGCAUGGACUGCUACUGUCUUUUGUUUCUUUGAAGAUCCUUGAGAAGGCUAACUUUUCUUUUUCUUCCAAAACCUCCUUUUCUCACCACUCCUCUUGGUCGGUUCAGGAAUGGUGGUUGUUUCCUCAACAUCAUCACUGUGGUCGACUAGGGUUUGGGCUAAAUUUUUGGCACUAUCAUAUGUAUCCGGCCUCGCAGAAAAGAAAUUUCCUUUGGUCGGUUGGGUCAGCCCCCAAAUAGAUCUCUCUAUCUUCUUACUCUCCGGGGUAACCAAUCCUGGACAGAGUAGUGCCAAGUCAUCAAAUCUCGAAGUGUAUGCGGCAAUAUCGAAACCCUUCAUCUUCAGGUUCCAGAGCUCGUGCUCUAACUUCUGUAUUUCGCCCCGAGGGCAGUACUCAGCUAGAAGAAGUUCCUUCAUGGCCUCCAACCCAUAGCAUUGGCUACAGGUAGGGUCACGGAUUUGACUCGGCCGUUCCACCAACUCAGGGCUUUAUCAAUAAAGGUACAAGCUGCGAAUUUUACUUUGUCAGAUUCCGAACAGGCACAGAUUUCGAAGAUAGAUUCUAUUUUUUCGAACCAUCGAGUGAGGGAAAUGACACCUCCAGUGCCAUCAAAGAGCGUGGGUUUUGCAUUCAUGAAAUCUUUAUAUGAACUCUCCUUUCAGUGUCCCUGGCUACCUUCUUGGUUUUGAGGCUGGGGACCACCUCCUGAACCACCGGGGUUCAUUUGUGACAUGGCGGUUGUCACUGCGGCAUUAACAGCUGUCUGAAGCGUUACAAGAUCAAUUUGAGGAGGAGGUGGUGGCGGAGGAGGAUUAUUGUUCUUUGAGUUGGGUCUCUUUCUUGGAGGCAUCUUGAUCUAAUAAGAUUAGGAAGGAGAGGAUGAUAAGUCCUCCGAAUUGAAUCAAGGGAUAUGACAGUUAUAUAUAUUUCGAAUAAGCGAUAAAAUAGGAAAGAGUUAUCAAAGCAAACAAUUUAUCGCUAGAGGAAUGUUCAAGGAGCAACGCCUGAAUGAGGAUUUCUACAAAGGAUUGGCUCGAGAAAUACUCCCAUAGUAUUUCAUGAUUCACCACAACCAUGGUUUAAUGUUUGGGGUAUUAAGGUAAGUUUUAGGCAUGCUGAACACCACAGUCACUCCCAAGCACAUGUUGGUCGUGUCUCGAAUGAAUAUAGUUGGCCUGGCUAUAUUGAUCCUAGACACGACUACAUAACUUCCCAGGUUUAACCGCAGUAUACAACACCCAUUUACUUAUGUUUUGUUCUACUUGUAGUUAUGGAUCUCGACGGUUAGGUAUACUUGUAUACUUUUGAAAAUACUUAUACUUUGAAGUAUACUUUUAGUUCAGAGCACUUGGGCCCCUUAGUGUUUAUACUCUUAUACCAUGUAAGGUUUGGUAUACUUAGUUCACUGUAAAAAUGGGCUCUGAUACCAAUCUGUCACACCCCGAAAACCCAAGGCAGAAACAUUUUCGGGGCGGACUCCACGUUGACUAUCAAAUCCAAUGUACAUAGUAAGCAAAGUAAACAACCAUUACAUUACAUAUAAAGAUUUUACAUUUGUUUUAAAGUAAAAAGUAUUACAAGUGUGAUAUAUAUAUAUAUAUAUAUAUAUAUAUANNNNNNNNNNNNNNNNNNNNNNNNNNNNNNNNNNNNNNNNNNNNNNNNNNNNNNNNNNNNNNNNNNNNNNNNNNNNNNNNNUAUAUAUAUAUAUAUAUAUAUAUAGGCAAAAGUAAGACGUGUCUUUUACGCACUCCGUCUUCUCCAAAAGGAUCAUCAGGUACCUGUCUAAUGAGGAUCUGAGAAUACAAGCAGUUUGAAAAUCAGCAUAAAGCUGGUGAGUUCAUAAGCAGUUUUGUUUUCUGAAAAUGUAUUUGUUUCCUUUCUGUUUUUUGAAAAAGUGAUACACCAAGAAAAUCCCAUAUUUUCUUAAGGUUGGUUACUAAUCCGAAAUGUAAUGUAAAAGAUGUAUACUGAAAACAUGGUUACUCUUGUGAAUUGUAAAGUUUAGUUAUCUGGUUUGUUACAUGAAUCUAGUUAUGUACAAAUGUUACCCCCAGGAAAAUCCCAUAUUUUCCUGAAAGUUGAUUACCAAUCUGUAAUGUGAAAGAUGUAUACUGAAAACCUGGUUGUCCUUGUGAAUUGUAUUAGUUUUAACACGUAUAUAAAACUAAUAUGUACAAAGUAAACCAGUUAAUGUAACCAUUAUUACUAAAUAGUAAAUCUCUGUUAUCCAAAUUGCGAGUUCCAUAACCAUACGAUAGACUAGAUAUGGCAAUAUGUAGUCCACAUCACCUUAUGACUUUCGUCACCCUUGUUCCUUUCGGUUUGGCUAUAGCUAGCAGCCAGGUGUGGGGUAGUCAGUCCCGUAUAGAUCUAUACACUCAAGUCACGCUCCCUAUCUAAGAGAUUCUGGUUACGGGUGCGGUCCUCCACUCGCGUAUCUCUGUGGAGUGUUCUCCGAGGGUGUGUCUCCAAUUUAUAGCGAUAACAAAUUUACUAGUAAUAACACAGAAAUAUCAAAUGACGAUCUGUAACAACCCGUUAUUUCCGGGCAUUAUAAACCGAGUCUUAUAACCCCUUUUGAAUGUAAUGGGAAUAUCAUCGAUAAAUGAAUUAUUCAAAAGCUCUGAUUUGGAGUACGCUAUGUAGUAGAUAUCGUCUUAAAGGUUCCAAAUAUAUAAAGAACACUAAAAUCUGAGUUAUGGCGAAGAAGCUAUGACCAUUCUAAGAUUUCUGUCAAAACCGACAACACCGAUCAAACGAAAAACGCAAAGUUUCAAUACGAUAACAUUUAGCCUUAGGUAUCUAAAUGAAAGUCAUAGAUAACAUUAAACCGUGAGCGUACACAAAAAGAACGUCCAAAUCUGACUUCGCAUGAGGAAGUUAUGAUUUUUCAAAGAAAUUCCUUAAAAAUGAUUAGUUAUAAAAUAAAUAAUAAAAAUAAUUUUGGAAUUUGCCAACGGAGUCUAAACGAAAGUUGUAGAUCGUAGUCUCACCUACGCGUGGAUAUAAAGACCAUCGAAAACGGAGUUCGUAUGAAGAAGAUAUGGAUUUUUGAAGUUUAUUAAAUAAAUUAAUUAUUUAUUUAAUUCAAAAUUCGGAUAUUAUCCGAAGAGGAGUCAGCGUCCUUCUCCGAAGUACGCGCUGCGUACUCCUGUACGCCCCGCGUAACCGAGAGGAUUGGCCUCGGAUCGUCCACGUCGCCAUAUCCGAGGAAGCCGACCCGUCCGACCCGUCCGACCCGACGUCCCAUCCGACCCGGCGUCCCAUCCGACCCACCUCCCCAGCAACCCGUCCCAUCCGACCCGAGAACCCAAGAACCCGUCCCAUCCGAACCGAGGCAGUCGAGGCUUCGGUCAUGCAUGACGUACGCGUACGCAGCGCGUACGAGCGUACGCCCCGCGUACCGAGGCAGACCUGCCUUCCUAUAAAUAGAAUGCGAGGGUUUCCAAAGAAAGGGUUCAUUUCUCUUCUCUCUCUCUCAGCAUUUCCUCGUUUUCCGUGUCCGUUCAAACCCGAAGCUCUGGUCUUUUUGGCUCAAGUCCCGAAGGCCGAUUCUACUCCCGAGAUUCCCGAGAAUCCCAAGAAAAAUCAGUUUCCCGAGACGAAACUCUGCUCGGUUUUCCACCUCACAAUCUUCAAACUAUCAAGUGAGUUCAUAUCCCCUUUGAACACUCUUUAAAUACAUUUUAAAUGUUUUAUACUCUUUUUGGGGAGGAAUACAAGUUAACACAUGACUAAAUUCGUGUGAAACAUUAACCUUUUGAUAUACUUUUCAUACUGUUGUUUUAACUAUCUUGUGAAGUUAUUAUGAUACAAAACCCCUCACAACACAGCUUUACCCUCUUUGGGAUAUAAUAUGUUUAUAAAUAGAAAUAUGUUUUAUUUAUACGUUUACAUACAAACACAUCAUAUCAAGGGUAACAUUCUUUACUAAGUCAUUUCAUGCAUUCAAAGAACUUAUGAUUAUGCUUUGUCAAACAUUGUGAAAGAGGUUAAACUUUGCAUACAAACUACUACCUUAUUACGGACUUAGUUGAGAAUCCAUGAGUCGUGUAUAUCUUCAAACGUUACUUUCUUUAUUAGAAAAUAAUGCUACAAGUCCUGUCUAUAACCAGAGUCUCCCGUUCGGAGAACGUGUCAAAUGUGUAUAGAUCUAUACGGGAAGUCAUGAUCCCGCGCCCUGACUGUUAGCUACAGUCCGUCUUUUGGGGUGACAGUUGUCAUAACGCUACGACGCCUGAAGAACGUCGCUACAGGCAUAUUAUGUUUAGUAUGGUUAUAAAACUCAUCGGAUAUACAAUUAUUAUGGUAUUAUGCUUUUAUGAACGAGUAGUCAUUAAAACUAUUCUUCAUCUAAUAAGUGCGAUCUUCGUAUAGCUUUACUAUGUAAAACUAUGACACAACUUACAAGCACGUCGCUUGCUUGCGAUUUUCGGUCUUAGAGACUGCCAGUUAUGUCAGGGAAAUAAGGGUUUUUCCUGUAUACAAACCAAACAACUAAUAGGAAAAUAAGGGAUUUUCUCGGUACAAUUAGUUGCAAUUUACAUCACGAACAUUCAUAUGCAUUGCAUACUUUUAUAAGAAAAUAAGGGUUUUUCUGGAAAACAUGCAAACACUUUCGAAUGGCAUACAUCUUCUCAAAACACUACUUAUGAACUCACCAACUUAAAUGUUGACACUUUUUCUUUGAAAUAACUUGUAUUCACAGGAAACCGCUAGCCAGGUAGCAACUACUUCUGAAGACUAACGCAUUGGCGUUAGUAACAUAUUUUGGAUCACCAUUUUAUAUUUGAUUUCUUUUGCAAACAUGUAACACCUACAAUCAUGUAAACUUUUCAAACAUAUUUAUAUUAUGGUGGUGUGUACUUUCCUUUCUAUGAACUGUUAUGAUACUGAAUAUGAUGUCCUCCGCCCCCGAACGAUUCCGCCGUUCAGGUUUGGGGGUGUGACAGAUUGGUAUCAGAGCUUCGUUUAUAGUGAAUUAAGUAUAUCAAAACCAUUUUUUUUUUACAACUAUAAACUCAACUGGGCAAAAACACUCUGAGAAGAGUCAUGCUUUUGAAAUUAAAUCUAUUUAGUUUUUGUAAGUAAGCAUGCAUUCAUUUAGUAAUAAAUAACAGUUCCACAUCGUACCAUAUUAGAAGUAUUAUUAAUGAGUUGUGCAGUACAGGUACGCCUUGGGACAUGUAAUCGGAACUGGGAAGGAUAUAGCCUGAUCAACUAUAUUUGUCCGAGAGCCGACUAACGUGUGCCGAGGGGUGUCUGCAGUGGACAACAAAUUUUAAAAACUUACCAAACCGUUAUUAGAAUCAAACACAAUAAUUUAAAUGCUAUAGGAGUAGUUGCUAUUUAAACUAACUUACAUGUUUUGCAUGUUCCGACUUUAUUCAAUUCUUAUGACCCUAUUUCUCGUACAGUCAAAUGGCUGGAUUUCACCACCCCAAUGACCCCUACUUUCCCAACCAAGGCAACGGAGGAUGGAUCGAAGAUGAUCCAGAAGAGGAUGAGGAACCCAUAGAAUUGGGUGAUGACUCCGGUACUGACUCAGAACCUGAAGUGAUCGAUCCACCACCCAUUCAACCUCCUGUCCAUGUGAGGAACUUCCAAGGACCCACUCCCGUCUGGGGAAGUCACCUACAUCAUUGGAGCCAACAACAAGGCAUACGCCCUCCCUACGGCAUGUGUCGGGACUUCUACGAUGUCCGCGGUGGCAGUUCGGCUGAUCGAGCACUCCCGGUAAUGGUUGGUAAGUUAGCCAAUCAGUCCUAUCAGUCCGGAGUACAAGCAAGCCGACUCCGGGAUAUCAACGUGGAAGUGCAGGUUCACACUUCCGAUAUCCGUAGGCUGGACAAGAUACAAGAUAAUGUCCAACUCCAGUCUGAGGCAUUUCAGGCACAGAUAAUUGCAGCCCUAGCCGAGUUAAGGGAGCAACAAGCCGCUUUUGAUCGACGCCUAAUGGAAUCGAAGCAAUCAGAUGCGGAGUCAAGCUCCAAGCGCAACCUACGUCGCAAGUAGUGCCUGCCAGGAUUUCAAAUUUUGUUAUAAAUUAGGACUUCGGAUAAGAAUUUCCUUUUCGUUAAAACUUUCUGUAAUCGGAGACCUUUAGAAAGGUCAAAAAGUUUUGUCUAAACUCGGAUGUAACACGACUAUAUGUUUUAUAUAUAUGGGGCAUACCCCCCUUCUCUGAUUUUAAAUAUGUGUAUUCCGUUCAACUCAUAAGUGCAUCCAUUCAAACGUUAUUAAUAAAUCAAGCUCAAAACCCAUUGUUGAUCAAACCAAAUUCUUAAUCUAUUUAAGGCAGUUAACUCAAUAUCAUUCAACUCACAACCACCAAAACUCAUAAUAUCUCAUUUUUUUUUUUGACAGAGCGAUGCCUCCUCGUAGAUCAGCACGUACCAACGCAACCCCACCACCACCUCCACCACUAACUUAUGAUCCGGCAAUGGUCCAGGCUGCUAUCACAGCAGCAGUAGCAGCAGCCCUCUCUCAAAUAAACUCCAAUGCCAAUGGAGGUACAGGAAGCAGCACGAAUCAUCCCAAUAGUGGCACCGGCCAGGGCCAUGUUAGAGAGUGUACUUACAAGGAGUUCUCCAACUCGAAGCCAAAGACUUUUAAUGGCAGUGGCGGAGUCAUUGCACUAAUGCAAUGGUUCGAAAAGACCGAAACGGUCUUCGAGAUCUGCUCGUGCCAAGAAACAAGCAAGGUUAAGUUCGCUGCUUGCACCUUCAUAGAUCGAGCCCUCACUUGGUGGAAAAGCCAUGUGAACUCAGUGACGCUCACUGUCGCUAACGCCAUGAGUUGGGAAGAACUGAAGGUACUACUACUGGAAGAAUACUGCCCAAGGGGUGAAGUGCAAAAGCUUGAGCAGGAACUCUGGAAUUUGAAAAUGGUCGGGUCUGACCUAGUCGCUUACACAGCUAGGUUCAACGAUCUCGCUGCUUUGUGCCCUACCAUGGUCAACCCAGAAUCAAAGAAGGUCGAAAGGUACAUUUGGGGGUUGUCACCCCAGAUUCAAGGGCAUGUCCUAGCCUCCAACCCUAUCACCUACAACAGCGCUAAACGCCUGGCGCAACGACUCAUCGAUCACGGAGCGAAACAGAGUACCAUCACAACAGCCGCAAAUCCACCUAGGGAGGCUCAGGGACAGAGUAGGCCUUGGAACAAGAGGAGGGGACAAAUCCUCCAGGAGAACCCCAAGAAACAACAAGUGAUAGCGACCCACGCUAUUACUGUACCUACCAACUCUGCCCCCACAAGUUCAUACAAUGGAAAGCUACCGAAAUGUAACCAGUGCAACUUCCACCAUCACGGUCUCUGUCAUGGCCUUCAAUGCACCAGGUGCAAUAAGAAGGGUCAUACAGCCCGCUAUUGCAAGGAGCCAACCCAACAAUCCGCCCCCACUGCUAAUACCGGAGUAAGCCGCGCUUGCUUUGAGUGCGGGAGCACAGGGCACUACCGCAAGGACUGCCCGAAGGCAAACAACAGGAAUACCGGCGGAAGAGGCCGAGUUUUCGCAAUGGGACAAGAUGAAGCCAUUGCGGACCCUACUGUUGUUACGGGUACGUUUCUUCUCGAUAACUCGUAUGCAUGCAUUUUGUUUGAUAGUGGAGCGGAAAGGAGUUUUGUGAGUCACGACUUUAAAAGCAUGCUAAAACCAAUACCACAAUCAUUAAGUGAACCGUUCAUAGUAGAAAUGGCCAACGGGAAAACUGAAGGCACUAAAGAGAUAUACUUAAACUGCACCCUAACUCUAAACGAUAAUCCCUUUCAAAUCAACCUCAUGCCAGUCUCGAUUAAGAGUUUCGAUGUCAUCAUUGGCAUGGAUUGGCUGAGUUCACAUCGUGCGGACAUUCUAUGUUACGAUAAGGCCGUUCGCCUUAAUCUGCCAACCGGCGAAACCUUCCUUGUCUUGGGCGACAAACCUAGUACCACUCUUAGAAUCAUCUCAAGUAUCCAAGCUCAGAAGCACUUACGAAAGGAGUGUCACGCAUUUCUUGCACAUGUUGUAGACGUGAAACGCGAAGUCCGGGACAUCAAGGAUGUGCCCGACGUAUGCGAUUUUCCCGAUGUGUUUCCCGAGGACCUUCCAGGGAUACCACCCGUAAGACAAGUCGAAUUCAGAAUCGAUCUGAUUCCCGGAGCUACCCCAGUAGCCAAAGCACCCUAUCGAUUAGCCCCGGCAGAGAUGCAGGAGCUAUCCAGUCAACUGAAUGAACUACUGGGAAAAGGAUUCAUCAGACCGAGCUUCUCACCAUGGGGAGCACCCGUGUUGUUUGUGAAAAAGAAAGAUGGAUCGUUCAGAAUGUGCAUCGACUACAGAGAACUCAACAAACUGACGGUCAAGAAUCGUUAUCCUCUACCGCGCAUAGAUGAUCUAUUCGACCAACUGCAAGGGGCGAACUAUUUUUCUAAGAUUGAUCUGAGGUCCGGGUAUCACCAGUUACGAGUGCUAGAGGAGGAUGUGCCGAAGACCGCCUUCCGAACUCGUUACGGACAUUACGAGUUCGUGGUGAUGCCAUUCGGAUUGACCAAUGCGCCCGCAGUCUUCAUGGAUCUGAUGAAUAGAGUAUGCCGACCUUACUUGGAUCAGUUCGUCAUCGUUUUCAUUGACGACAUCCUGAUCUACUCCCGAAGUAAGAAAGAGCAUGGCGAUCAUCUGCGACAAGUUCUAGGGAUAUUACGAAAAGAGAAACUUUAUGCGAAGUUCUCGAAAUGUGAAUUUUGGAUCCGAAGAGUCGAAUUCUUAGGACACGUGGUAAGCGAAGAGGGAAUCCACGUGGACCCAUCCAAAAUUAAGGCCAUUGAGAACUGGUCAGCACCGAAGACUCCUACAGAAAUUCGCCAAUUUCUAGGUCUCGCUGGCUACUACCGCAGGUUCAUUCAGAACUUCUCACGAAUAGCGAAGCCUCUUACAACCCUAACCCAGAAAGGUGUGGCCUUUGACUGGGAAGAGAAACAAGAAAGAGCGUUCCAAACGCUCAAACGAGCCUUGUGCACCGCACCAAUACUAUCCCUUCCCGAAGGAAUAGAAGACUUCGUAGUUUAUUGCGAUGCAUCAAACCAAGGACUCGGAUGUGUUCUGAUGCAGCGAGGUAAGGUCAUCGCCUACGCCUCGAGACAGUUGAAAACACAUGAGGUUAACUACACGACCCACGAUCUUGAGCUAGGAGCAGUAGUGUUUGCCCUGAAGAUCUGGAGACAUUACUUGUAUGGAACGAAGAGCACUAUCUUUACCGACCACAAGAGCUUACAACACAUUUUCGAUCAGAAGGAGCUCAACAUGAGACAACGGCGAUGGGUCGAGCUACUCAGUGAUUACGAAUGCGAUAUUCGCUAUCAUCCGGGAAAGGCAAACGUCGUAGCCGAUGCCCUUAGUCGAAAGGAGUACUCAGGCCGGAGAGUGAAGUCAUUAGCUAUGUCGAUCCAUUCGCACCUAUCAACGCAAGUCAAGGAAGCUCAAUUAGAGGCCUUGAAACCCGAAAACGUGGCAGGUGAGGCCCUUAGGGGAAUGGACAAGAACUUAGAAAUCAAGAGUGACGGAGCACGCUACCUCAUGAACCGGAUCUGGACACCAAAGUUUGGGGGAUUCAGAGAGGUAGUUAUGAGCGAGGCACACAGGACCCCAUACUCCGUACACCCAGGGUCAGACAAGAUGUAUCUAGAUCUCAAGCAACUCUACUGGUGGCCAAACAUGAAAGCGGAGAUCGCUACGUAUGUGGGCAAGUGUUUAACUUGCGCCAAAAUAAAAAUAGAACACCAAAAACCCUCAGGCCUACUCCAACAACCUGAAAUACCUGAGUGGAAAUGGGAGCAGAUUUCCAUGGACUUCAUAACCAAACUGCCCAAAACUCAGAGUGGCCAAGAUACUAUUUGGGUAAUCGUCGACAGAUUAACCAAGUCAGCCCAUUUCUUACCUAUCAAGGAAACCGAUAGGAUGGAAAAACUAUCAAGAACCUACAUCCGGGAGAUCGUACGACUUCAUGGAGUACCAAUGUCCAUCAUCUCAGAUAGAGACAGCAGGUUCACUUCCAGAUUUUGGCAAUCACUGCAAAAAUCCAUGGGAACAAGGUUGGACAUGAGUACAGCAUACCACCCUCAAACUGACGGACAGAGUGAGAGGACGAUCCAAACCUUGGAAGACAUGUUGCGAGCAUGUGUAAUCGACUUUGGCAAGGCAUGGGAUAUUCACUUGCCUUUGGUCGAGUUCUCUUAUAACAAUAGUUAUCAUACUAGUAUCAAGACCGCUCCGUUCGAAGCCCUUUACGGCCGUAAGUGCAGAUCACCCCUGUGCUGGACGGAAGUGGGCGACACCCAAUUGGCAAAAGGUCUAGUCACUAAAAGCACCCUUACUGGUCCAGAGAUCAUCAGAGAAACUACCGAAAAGAUCGUGCAAAUACGAGAACGACUGAAGUCCUCAAGGGAUAGGCAAAAGAGCUAUGCCGACAGGAGACGUAAACCCUUGGAAUUCCAGAUUGGCGACCGUGUGCUACUGAAGGUCUCACCCUGGAAAGGCGUGAUACGCUUUGGGAAGCGUGGAAAGCUAAAUCCCAGGUACAUUGGACCCUUCGAAAUCAUUUCGAGAGUUGGUCCAGUGGCCUACAAACUCCAACUUCCAAUCGAGCUUAACAAAGUGCAUCCAGUAUUCCACGUGUCGAACCUGAAAAAGUGUUUGUCCGACGAAACACUUGUAAUUCCACUCGAUGAAAUCGCGUUAAACGAAAAUCUCAACUUUGUGGAAGAACCCGUCGAGAUCAUGGAUAGGGAAGUUAAAAGGACCAAGCAGAGUCGCAUUCCAAUAGUAAAAGUUCGAUGGAAUGCUAAGAGAGGACCCGAAUUCACAUGGGAACGGGAAGACCAAAUGCUACAGAAGUAUCCGCAUCUCUUCCUCAGCCCCUAAAACUCUUACCUUGUAUUAAAUUUCGGGACGAAAUUCCGUUUAACGGGGGGAUGAUGUAACAACCCGUUAUCCCGGGCAUUAUAAACCGAGUCUUGUAACCCCUUUUGAAUGUAAUGGGAAUAUCAUCGAUAAAUGAAUUGUUCAAAAGCUCUGAUUUGGAGUACGCUAUGUAGUAGAUAUCGUCUUAAAGGUUCCAAAUAAAUAAAGAAACACUAAAAUCUGAGUUAUGGCGAAGAAGCUAUGACCAUUCUAAGAUUUCUGUCAAAACCGACAACACCGAUCAAACGAAAAACGCAAAGUUUCAAUACGAUAACAUUUAGCCUUAGGUAUCUAAAUGAAAGUCAUAGAUAACAUUAAACCGUGAGCGUACACAAAAAGAACGUCCAAAUCUGACUUCGCAUGAGGAAGUUAUGAUUUUUCAAAGAAAUUCCUUAAAAACGAUUAGUUAUAAAAUAAAUAAUAAAAAUAAUUUUGGAAUUUGCCAACGGAGUCUAAACGAAAGUUGUAGAUCGUAGUCUCACCUACGCGUGGAUAUAAAGACCAUCGAAAACGGAGUUCGUAUGAAGAAGAUAUGGAUUUUUGAAGUUUAUUAAAUAAAUUAAUUAUUUAUUUAAUUCAAAAUUCGGAUAUUAUCCGAAGAGGAGUCAGCGUCCUUCUCCGAAGUACGCGCUGCGUACUCCUGUACGCCCCGCGUAACCGAGAGGAUUGGCCUCGGAUCGUCCACGUCGCCAUAUCCGAGGAAUCCGACCCGUCCGACCCGUCCCAUCCGACCCGGCGUCCCAUCUGACCCACCUCCCUAGCAACCCGUCCCAUCCGACCCGAGAACCCAAGAACCCGUCCCAUCCGAACCGAGGCAGUCGAGGCUUCGGUCAUGCAUGACGUACGCGUACGCAGCGCGUACGAGCGUACGCCCCGCGUACCGAGGCAGACCUGCCUUCCUAUAAAUAGAAUGCGAGGGUUUCCAAAGAAAGGGUUCAUUUCUCUUCUCUCUCUCUCAGCAUUUCCUCGUUUUCCGUGUCCGUUCAAACCCGAAGCUCUGGUCUUUUUGGCUCAAGUCCCGAAGGCCGAUUCUACUCCCGAGAUUCCCGAGAAUCCCAAGAAAAAUCAGUUUCCCGAGACGAAACUCUGCUCGGUUUUCCACCUCACAAUCUUCAAACUAUCAAGUGAGUUCAUAUCCCCUUUGAACACUCUUUAAAUACAUUUUAAAUGUUUUAUACUCUUUUUGGGGAGGAAUACAAGUUAACACAUGACUAAAUUCGUGUGAAACAUUAACCUUUUGAUAUACUUUUCAUACUGUUGUUUUAACUAUCUUGUGAAGUUAUUAUGAUACAAAACCCCUCACAACACAGCUUUACCCUCUUUGGGAUAUAAUAUGUUUAUAAAUAGAAAUAUGUUUUAUUUAUACGUUUACAUACAAACACAUCAUAUCAAGGGUAACAUUCUUUACUAAGUCAUUUCAUGCAUUCAAAGAACUUAUGAUUAUGCUUUGUCAAACAUUGUGAAAGAGGUUAAACUUUGCAUACAAACUACUACCUUAUUACGGACUUAGUUGAGAAUCCAUGAGUCGUGUAUAUCUUCAAACGUUACUUUCUUUAUUAGAAAAUAAUGCUACAAGUCCUGUCUAUAACCAGAGUCUCCCGUUCGGAGAACGUGUCAAAUGUGUAUAGAUCUAUACGGGAAGUCAUGAUCCCGCGCCCUGACUGUUAGCUACAGUCCGUCUUUUGGGGUGACAGUUGUCAUAACGCUACGACGCCUGAAGAACGUCGCUACAGGCAUAUUAUGUUUAGUAUGGUUAUAAAACUCAUCGGAUAUACAAUUAUUAUGGUAUUAUGCUUUUAUGAACAAGUAGUCAUUAAAACUAUUCUUCAUUUAAUAAGGGCGAUUUUCGUAUAGCUUUACUAUGUAAAACUAUGACACGACUUACAAGCACGUCGCUUGCUUGCGAUUUUCGGUCUUAAAGACUGCCAGUUAUGUCAGGAAAAUAAGGGUUUUUCCUGUAUACAAACCAAACAACUAAUAGGAAAAUAAGGGAUUUUCUCGGUACAAUUAGUUGCAAUUUACAUCACGAACAUUCAUAUGCAUUUCAUACUUUUAUAGGAAAAUAAGGGUUUUUCUGGAAAACAUGCAAACACUUUCGAAUGGCAUACAUCUUCUCAAAACACCACUUAUGAACUCACCAACUUAAAUGUUGACACUUUUUCUUUGAAAUAACUUGUAUUCACAGGAAACCGCUAGCCAGGUAGCAACUACUUCUGAAGACUAAUGCACUGGCGUUAGUAACAUAUUUUGGAUCACCAUUUUAUAUUUGAUUUCUUUUGCAAACAUGUAACAUCUACAAUCAUGUAAACUUUUCAAACAUAUUUAUAUUAUGGUGGUGUGUACUUUCCUUUCUAUGAACUGUUAUGAUACUGAAUAUGACGUCCUCCGCCCCCGAACGAUUCCGCCGUUCUGGUUUGGGGGUGUGACACGAUCCUCCACUCGCGUAUCUCAGUGGAGUGUUACCGAGGACAAAAACAAUAUACUAAGUUUCAUGUUCAAAGUUCAAAUGUUAUGCUUUUAACUAUUAUAACGUGGAAACCAUUUGUGAAAAAUAUAAAGUACAACAUUUUAUAAUGUUUUUUACAAAUAAUAUGGUAAUGUGUUCUGCAAGUUCAUACUGUUAUCAAGUAUGAUUAUCAGUGUGAAAAGGAUAUGUAAUAUGAAACACAACACAUUUAAAAUAAGUUUUGAGUACAAGUAUUCCUUGUACUUUGCUUGUAUUCUCCCCCUGAAAACAGUGGAAAACAUUGAAAAAGGGUAGGGGUAUGAACUCUCCAGACGAGAAAAUGCGAUGGUUUAGAUGCUAAAUGUCGGUUCGGGGCUUAUUAACGUGCGAGGUUCCUAUGUAAUUUGAAAGGAUAUACAAAUAUAUCUAAUUAGAAAACACUUCAAAUUAAGUGUUUGGAGUGACCCGGGUGACAUCUACAGACGUAUAGUUCUUGGAUAACGUUUUUACUCUUCAAGAGUAAACUCCUCGUGGAGUUUUCGGCCCUAAGACCAACUCCACAUGAGUUCAUGGCCGUGAACUCAUGGAUGAGGGUUUUAUGGUGUCAAAUGGUCAAUUAACACUUGAGGGAUGAUGUUAGGUUUGGUUCUAGAGCAUUGGAAAGGGAUUAAACCACCAAAUGGACCACUUAAAGGAGUUUACGGCAGUUAGCUAGGGGUUUACGGCCGUAAGCUCCCCCAUAUCCAUUUCGUAUAUGAUUUGGUGAUGUAAGGUCAAUCACAUGUGAUUUAAACACGUUUUACCAAUAAAUGGGUGAAUUUAGGGCAUCAUUUGACAUGUGUUUAUGAGUUUACGGCCCAGGAACCCAUCCUUGGGGUGUUUACGACUGUAAGCUCCAAAAGGGAAGGAUUUUUUCAUGCUUAAGGCCCCUAAAUCGAUUGUGGUUGAUCCUAGAAUUUAAUCCAAGGCUAUUGGUGUGUUUAAGUGGCAUUUAAACACUUGAAAUUGAGUUUACUACCCUUGAAUAUGAGUUUACGGCCGAAGCAUGUUCUUGGGCAGUAAUCUCAAUUUUACUCUGCAAAAGUUAAGUUUAAGGUAUUCUACAUCCAUUCCAUUAAGCCAUCUAGCCAUAUCUAAGCUCCAAAGGUCGAUUGGAAGGGUCUUUGGGCUCCAAAACCCAUUUUAUAUGAGUUCACGGCCUAGGACUGUUCUAGGGCCGUAAACUCACGAUAAUGGUCCUAUUCCAUAAUUUGACCACGAAUUUGGAAGCUAGAGAGGUUGUACAACAUGUUAGGAAGGUUACCUUGAUGAAAUGGAGCUUUAAUUUGAUGAUUUUGGACCUUAAGUUUGGAUUGAGGAGAGAGGUUAGAGAGAGAGAGAGUAGUGAGAGAGUGCAAAAUCUUCAAAUGGAAGGUUAAUUCACUUUAAAUAUGUUCCAAGUUCGGGACACGGUGGAAUUCUACCCGAUACUGACGUCAGACGUGACUGUUGGUCGCACCCGAUUAAGUUGUCGUAACCCGGUAUGGUAAAUUCUAAAUAUUUUCUGGUUACUAAUAUGGGGUGAUAAUAUGAGUUCUAAACGCGUUAGGACACCCAUUAAGUCAUAACAGAAAUCCCACAUUUAUGACUUAACUUAAUGACGUAAACGGAAGUGAAAUUGAAAACGACGAAUGUAUUAACGAAAAGGGGUUACAAAUAACGGAAAGAAUUUCCGGUUGUCACAAUAUGAUAAAAGGUAUAAUUGAAUAUAUCAAAGUUGACUAAAUCAAAGGUAUGCCUCAUGAUUAUACACGUAUUAAUUGCUCAAAGCGAAUGGGUAGACUUCUACUCUUUAUGUAUACGAACAUGAUACCAAGAGAAGAAAAAUAAAAGAAAUAAAGUUAGACAAUGUAUAAUGUUAUUAUUAUGGGCGUGCGAGAUCUAAAUAAGAAGGAGAGCUAGAAAUCAAUUUCGGUGGAAAGAAAAAGAAAGGUAGCGGCGGCAACUAUUGCUAUUGUUAAAAUUAUAAGAACAAUACCUAUAUGUAGAUUUAAAACCAGGUUGAGAUAUAUUUGAAACUUCAUUAUUUGAUGUACAUUGAUGAUUAAAUAGACACGUGGGAGUUUUAACGUGUUUGCUAAGGAUUGCUAAAAAUUCAUAAGUUAUCUAUUAAGUUAAACUCCAUUUGUGAAAAAAGAAGAAACACUACAAAUGGUAAUUAAAAAUAUGAUAGUGUUGACAUCUUAGACUAGAGUACAACAAUGGUUAAAACGGACAAGGUAAAGACUUAACAUAUUUAGAUGAAUAAUUGUGCAUUUUCGAAAGUGCGUCAUUGGAAGGUUAAAAGUGAACAAUAAGUUUUCAAAUGCUAUAAAUUUUAAAAACUUUAUAGAUUAUAAAACUAUAUUGAAGCAAAGUACAUAAAUAAGGUAUGUUUUGAAAUACAAGCAUUAGAGAUGUCUUAUAAACAUGAUUGUAGUAGAAAUUUGCAUAAAUAUCAUGUUGGGUUUUGAGAAAACACAUUUAAGUAAAUUACAAUGCCUAAAUGAGAAAGCUGUUAAAAGUGUCAAAACAAAAGUGUUUUGAAGAUUCGAUGAAACUUUUUCACAUAAUAUGAACUUCAAUGUCAUAUGUUUAAGUUUUAUAGCAUAGAGUUUAAACACUUUUAUAGAAGAAAAUGUUUCUAAGUUUUUCGAAAACGUGUCAAAGUGGUAAGCAAAGAUUAAAAUGGUUUAUAUGCCCUUAAAAGCAAAAGAUAAAGACAACACCAACCAUAGUAUUAAAAAGCAUUACAAAUUUACAAUAGGUUUGAACAACUUUAAAAAAAAUUACAAUAUGAAUUGAAAUACAACACAUGCGCAUGCUCCUAAAAGUGAUGUGUCUCUACUUGCCCUUUACUAGAUGAUUCCUGAAAAGCAUGUAAAACGAGCGUCACUAUAAAAAUAGUUGGUGAGUACUCACAGAUUUAAAAAUAAUAUUAGUUUCAUGAAUUGAGCUCAAAUUUCUGAUAAUAGUUUCCAAAAUGAAAAUAUAUUCCAAAAAUGAGUAAAUAAGUUUGCAUAAACAGAGUUUGUUGUCAUCAUGAGAAAAGAAGUAUGUUGCCCAAAUGAGAUGUAAUGUUCAUAUUCUCAUGGAAAAUAAAGCUUCCGUAAAUCGAAAUAUAUUGCAAAUAUGAGUAAAUAAGUUUGCGUAAAUAAAUUUUGUUGUCAUCAUGAGAAAUGAAGUAUGUUGCCCAAAUGAGAUGUAACGUUCAUAUCUCAUGGGAAAUAAAGUUUCCAUAAAUAGAAAUAUAUUGCAAAUAUGAGUAAAUAAGUUUGCGUAAACAAAGUUUGUUGUCAUCAUGAGAAAUGAAGUAUGUUGCCUAAAUGAGAUGCAACAUUCAUAUUUUCAUGGGAAAUAAAGUUUGUUGCUAAAACGAGAUACAAGGUUCGUAUGUGCAUAAUGAUUAUACCAUGAGUUCACAACCCAAGCCUAAUGACCGAGGGUGAUCUCUUCUAUAUCUAUCGCUAACAUAGGGAAAUAUGGGAAAAUGCACUCAACAGAAUCGUGCGAGUGAGGAGUUCUCUACCUCCUAAUAGCGUUAUCCAUAAAAACCAUAGGCUCAAAUGAAUUAAUGAGUUGUAUGAACUGAUUCCAGGGAAUUAAACGCGAUAACGCCUCAUGAAUUAACAAUAGCACACACAUACAUAACAGCAUAUAGCAACCAAGUUUGAUACAAUUCAAAUUAAAUACAACGGACAUAAAUAGUUUAGGACAUGCUAUUUCACCCCAAAACAUAAAAACCGAAAAUAGUGGGAGUCUUGAAUACUCACAAUUUGGAAAAUAUGUUAACCAAGUUUGAUACGAGUCAAAAUAAAUACAACGAGCAUAAAUAGUUUACGACAUGCUUUUCCACCCCAAAACAUAAAAACCGAAAAUAGGGGGAGUCGUUAAUACUCACAAUGCAUUGAAAUGAUGCAAAUGGUGCCUUGAACUACGUUCCACUUGUACCACUACCGAUUCCUAAAAUAAUGGUAUCCGCUAGUGAAUCUCUAAUCGAAAUCUAACACUAGUAUACUUACUACUACAAUAGAAUUAUCUCAAUAUUGUGUAAAAAUUAAUAUUGAUAACUUACAAACAUAUUUCUAUGAAAAUUAAAUUUCAAUGAAUCAAUUGUUAUAUAACAAUUUAAGUGGAAAAUUCCCAUUAUUGAAAUGUUAAUAUUUAACAUUUUAAGAGGUGUUCCAAUGGUUAAAUAUUCAAAAACUAAAUCAUUUGGUUCAAAACUUUCCCAAACAUUGCAUUUCAGUUUUAAAAGUCAAAGACCUUAAGAUAAAUUUUCUUGAACUUUUGAUUUGUCUAAUUAUUUUUUACCAUUUAAUUCCUUGAAUAAUCAUAAAAUCAUGGAAAAUAAGUAAAUUAUCAUGAAAAAUUCUUACAAUUUUUGUGUAACUGUUUUACAGUGUAGAUAAUAUGGGAAAAAUAUCGAUAUUUCUUUUCAAAAAGUUAAACAGAUUUUUUUUUAUUUUUGUGUAUUUAUUCUAUAAAAAUAGAAAUAAAUGUAUAACUGUUUCAAAAAUUCACCACACUUUUUUUACAAGUGUUAUCACACAUACUUAAGCUGGGAAAAAUAUAAAAAUGGAUUUAUAAACUGUUUAACCCAAUUUUGUGAUUUUUAUGUAUUUAAGUGUAUUAAAUCUUGGGAAAAUAGAAGAAAAAUAGCAUACAAAAGAGACAAAUCAUCAACACUUUUAUGUAGCAUCAUAAUAUAUUAUAAGAGUUUCUUGUAAAUUUUCAUGAAGAUGAGUAAAACUAUUUUUCCUGCUUCUAAUCCAUUAUAAUCACAAAAAUCAUGGAAAAAUAGAUAUACAUUUUCAAAAAUUCCCAAAAUAUUUUUAUGAAUCUUAAACAUAAGGUAGGAGCCGCGGAAAAUAAGAAAUAAUAUGUUCACAUUCCCUAAAGUGGUUUUAUGAUUUAUUGGAGCUAAAUAAAAAGAAAAUUAAUAACCAUAUUAACAGUAACAAUAAUUGAUGAAACUUCAUGAGAGUUGUUUAUUAAUGUAAGGGAUCAUCCACAAAUACUUAUAGAAUUUAUUUACUAGUCUAAGUAUUUUAUAUGCUUUAACACUCUAUUUUCUUAUUAUAUUCAUGUAAAAAUAAAUAAAAUAUAUAUUGAGCUCAAAAUUUCCAGAAUGCAUCUUCAAACAAUUUAAGAACUAUAAAAAAUCUUUUUCUUAUUUUUGAUGUCGAAAACUAUGCCUAAUGGCUCAAACAAUUGUAGAGAAAACUUGGUUCUUGUGAUUGUGGUAAAGAUUAUUGAUGUUAGUUUGAGAAUUUUUGCAACAUGUUCCAAAGACUUUUGAAUCAUGAUAUUUUUGUACCUCAUAAUAAAUGAUGUUAAGUGCUCAAAUUUAUUUUUCAUAGAUUUUUAGUCAGGAAUAAGACCUUUGAACAUGCAAUACAAAACUAGUAUUCACAAAAAGGUGUUGUUUAAGCAAUAGUUUUGUAAAAAUUGAUAAAAAUAGAAAUAUUGAAAAUUUCCAUUGAGGGCAGAUGGGUUUGAAAACUAAUUCAAAAUAUUAUAUUUCUGAAAAAGAAUCUCGAAUUCUGGAUAAGAAAUGAGUGAGAUAGGGCAGUUUGAAAUCAGGUAAAGAAAUAUGGCAGAUUGCAUGCAUGAUGAUUGGUUAGAAAUCAUGAUAAACUCCUAUUUUAGUCAUGUUUCCAGAGAUCAAAAGAUUAAAUCUUAUCAAAAUGUAUACAUGCAUUUAUGAACAAGUUUUUUUUCUCAAAAACUCUUAACUUGAGUUUAAUGUUUUAAUCCUUAAAAUUGAUUUUUUCACUAAGAUCAUGAACAUGCAACUUCGUUUAUCAUACAUGCAUGGUGUUAAAACACAUCCAUCAUGUUCUAAAAACCAUUUUUACAAAAAUAAAACAAGUUUGAAGAAGAUGAAAAGUAGAAGUUGGUUUUUGAAGUAAAAUGCACAUGCAUGGCUUAAAUCAUUGGCUUAACAUAGGUUUGAUCUUAGAUUUUCACCAUUUCUAAUACAUGCAACAUGUUUUGGUGAGAAACUACAAGCAUUAAAAUCAAAUAUUGUUUACAAGCAAAAAUAAUGCCUUAGAACAUCAAGAUAAAAGUGAAAAAUGCUAAAAAUUUGGAGAAAAAAAAUUAGAGAGAAGGUAGAGAGAGUUUUCUAUAGAAAGAAAGAAGAGAGAUGUGUGUAUGUUGGAGAAUGAGAGUGGGAGAGGGAGAUAUGAGGAGGGAGAGAACGAAAUUUAGGGGAUAAUACCCCUUUCUAAUUCAUUUUCUUUUAUAAAUUUUAAUUUCUUUUAUAAAAUAUCUCAGUUUUUAUAUAAAAUCUGCACUAAAAUUAAAUUUUUAUUCAUAAAACCUUUAUUUUUUAUUUAUAAAUUACGGGUAAAUGUUAAUGAGUGAAAUUUUAUUUUCCUUGAAUGCGUUUUCUUAAUUUUAAUUAUUAUAAGAUCAUAUUAUGUGGUUCAUAACUAUUUUUAUAUAACUUUUAAGGUUAAAUUUCAUAAAUUUAGGUUUUUAAGGUAUUUAGGGUUUUUGAGAGUUUGUAAAUAUUUAGAUAUGAAAAUCAAUAGAAUCUUUGAGACUUCAAAUUAUCUUAUGUUAUUAUAACUCUUGUAUAGUUAUAAAUAAUGUUUGUAACUUGUUUUAUCGGUUUAUUCGCAUUCUAUGUAGUGGUUUCCACAUUCAAGUGAAAUUGAGGAAUCUAGUAUACUAGUCAUAGUUUUCAACUUUGACUUAAGUUUCUAUGAGACUUGGACCUAAUUUAUACCACUAUAUCAAGUGCAUGAUGUGUAUAUGGUUCAUGAAAAGGUGAUCGAGUCAAAGAGUGACCCGGAUAUGGAUAGUCCCUACAGUUAAGUAGUUAUAGAAUUCACAUAUCAAUGUGAAAUCUAAGUACAUUAUCCAUUGUUUCUAAUUGAUUCCAAGUUUCUAUUAGGUUAUAACUUACCUUCUAGUUACUAAGUAUAGUGAGUGUCAGGCCUAUACGUGCAACUAAGUUUCUCAAUUCUAGAACUGACUCGAAUUUUGACGGUUGUCACAGUCUCCCCCGGUUGAAAGAAUUUUUCCCGAAAUUCAAUUCGUGACGUAUUCUAUUAGAACUCAGCCAACUACAAUUGUAUUGUUGGAGAGGUUGUGACAUGAAUAGAUCUUUGAUUAUUUUGGGUUAAUUCCUUAAGGGAAGAGCCCAAUUCUUUAGCUAUAAUCAAAUUAGUGUUUCCUUAAUUCGAGUUCUACAGUCUAGAUUGUGGGAAAUUAGGAUCAUGGAAAUCAUGAUCCAACCAUGGAGACCUAGUAGAAAAAGGUCGUCUAGUUAGAUAUUAUAUGUCUUAAAAGAGCGCUAUAAGUUUUACUGAAGCACCAACUGUACUGAGCGUUAAAUCCGCAUUGAUCCUAAAGAUGAAUUCUAAAUUAGCACUAAGUGUAAAUUCGACGCCUAAUAAAGAAGAGAUUAGGAACAAUUUGUUCAAUUCCGGUUUGGCUACUACAUCAUGAAAAGAUAUAUUCCCAAAUAAGAAGGGGUAGCACGAAUGAAAGGGAAGCGAUCGAGGGAAAGUUCCUAAAAUACAUACUAAGGGUAGGAAAUGAAGUUUUGGUACAUCUCAGAUGUAAAGGUGUAACAUCCAAAAAUUAAAGCCCGAAAAUUGCAUUUUCAAAUCAACAAUUCCCUAAACAUUUUUACCAAAAUAUUGUCGAAUAAACAUCACAUCACAAAGUCAUAUUGUUGUGUCCAAAAACUAUAACGUCAAAAGUAAUAAAAUCAGAGUACAGUCCCAAAAACUCCUUGCGGAAAUCCAUGUGUGUGUGAUGCGCUGCUACACCGCCGGCUCCUUCCCCUUCGACGAAGAGGUACCUGAAACCAAAACCAAAACUGUAAGCACAAAGCUUAGUGAGUUCCCCCAUCAUACCACAUACCAUACAAUAUCGUCGGUAUCUUUCAACCGGUAGCCUUUAUCUGUAUAUUUCAACCGGUAACCAACAUCGGUAUCUUUCAACCGGUAACCAACAUUGGUAUCUUUCAACCGGUAUCCGUCAUCGGUAUAUUUCAACCGGUAACCUACAUCUGUAUCUUUCAACCGGUAUCCGUCAUCGGUAUCUUUCAACCGGUAACCCACAUCAGUAUCUUUCAACCGGUAUCCAUCAUGGGUAUCUUUCAACCGGUAUCUGGGGACUAUUUCACCCCCUACCACUAGCAUACUGUCUAUAGAUAUAAACGUACAGUCAGAUAUAUCUAGGUACUGACCUACCCUUGGGUCCUACGGACCACUGUUAGGAAAACUAAUCCCUUUUAUACACAUAACAUAUCAUGUAGAUAAAUCUCAUAACCAGAACAAGAUAAUUAUCAUAAAGACCAUUAUCUUCUAAGUACCCCUUUUUGGUGGGCCGGCAUUGUGGCCUGAGACCCACCCAUACUGGAAGGUAACUCACCUCAAUGUCAUGCAGUGUUUGAAUUAUCCUCGGCGCACAAGUCGACUCCCUUCGACUCCUCGAUCCCUACACGACAACCUUCAAGUCAACACACAACAAGUACAACCCUAAACAGGGUCAGUCCAAGUCUAGUCAAAUUCAACUUCAAGUUGAAUCGACUCGCCGAGUUGGUCCGUCAGCUUGUCGAGUCCCUCAACCUUUACUCGUCCUCAACCAUGACCUGACUCGUCGAGUUGGACCGUCAACUUGACGAGUUCAUCUCUCAUAUGAACAUCGCAUGAAACUCAUCCAACUUGCCGAGUUGAUGAACAACUCGUCGAGUUCCCCUUCAUCUGACGAACAAGUUAUGUCCUCGACUCUCCGAGUUCAAGAACAACACGCCGAGUUCAUCUUCAUCCUUAAGAAGAUUGCCUUGGACUCGCCGAGUGUCACACCCCAAAACCAAGAACGGCGGAAACGUUAUGGGGCGGAGGACGUCAUGUAAAGUAUCUCAACACAAUAUAACAGUAAAUAAGCAAACAACAUCAUCCAUUGCAUUAAAUAUAUAAUUUUAAUACAAGUGUGUUCUGUACAGUUAUAGACACCAAAAAGUAAAUUAAAAUAAUUAGAUGAGUCUUGAAUGCGCUCCAUCUUCUCAAAAGCAGGCCUCGGUACCUGUCUACUGUCGACCUGAGAAUACAAGUUAUUUUGAAAGAGUUUAUCAGCAUUAAGCUGGUGAGUUCAUAAGUAUUUUAGUGUCGGUGUUUGUUAUCAAAACGUUUGAACAUGGUUUUAUGUAUGAGUUUGUAAAAGGUAUGUAAAUUUUUGUAAGUGUUUGUAAAAGUUUGAAUCUCCUAGAAAAAACUAUAUUUUCUAUUAAAGUAGCCUUCUACCAAGGCGUGACUGUUUUAUAUGUUCAUUUGUUGUAAAAGUGUGUAAUUUCCCAAGUGUAACUAUCAUUAACCAAAUAUAGUUUCUACAUUAAUGUUUCAGUGAAAUAAUCACUAAAUAUAUGUAAAGGGUAAAUUAUUGUAGUACUGUAGUGUUGUAUUGUAGGAACUACUGCUGUACGGACUACCUUAAACCAGAUUUAUACUAAGGUAUCAUGUGAUUAAUUGUACCAUACUAUCGACUUGAUAAACAACGAAAAAUGUAGGUCAUAAAAAGAAAUGAUGUUUGGCACCCGCAAACCUGCAGGUCCGGCUGUAGCUAGCAGCAAGGUGUAGGAUAGUCAAUCCAGUAUAGAUCUAUACGCAAACUCACGCUCUCCCUUCAAGAGACUCUGGCUACAACACGGGCCAUGACAUUGAAGUCAUGCUCCCAUACGGAUCACAAUGGUUAAUGUAUUCAUGUAUAUGUAAUGUAAUCUUACUCGUUCUAGUAUCGUUGUAUAUGUUCUCUUUCUAGUAUAGUUGUAUAUGUUCUCCUUCUAGUAUAGUUGUAUAUGUUCUCUUUCUAGUAUAGUUGUAUAUGUUCUCAUUCUAGUAUAGGUUUAUAUGGUCUCUUUCUAGUAUAGUUGUAUAUGUUCUCUUUCUAGUAUAGUUGUAUAUGCUCUCUUUCUAGUAUAGUUGUAUAUGUUCUCUUAUUAAUAAGUAUUGACUCAUGAAUGAACUAACUCAUUGAUCUAGCAAUAGUAUAAGUAUGAUCUUGUGUUACCCCGAUGGUAACUUUCUAAUGAUGUAACUAGUACGUAUAAAUACGGAAGAACUUUUAUGACUAUAUAUGUACACAUGAUGUAUAAUUAAUAUUGAAACGACCUUCGGACGGCUACCCGAUAAUCUACCAGACCACAUCCAAAUCGAGGAAGAGGAAAUAGGGAGGACGGCCUUCCUAAGCCUUUUAAACAUUACUUAUAUAACUAUACAUCAGUAUAACAAAGGUUAAGUAUAAGCAUUUGAUAAGUAAAAGAGUUUGUGAAACAGUUUGAAGUAAAACAGUUUGAAUAGUAAUAAAAUCAUUGGUUUUGUAGUUAUUAAUCACAUGUGAUUGAUGUAAUAACUAUAAGUAUUUAACUUGUUUUUCCCCCUAUUAAAGCAUUUAAAACAUUUAAAAGUAUUUCAAAGGUUAGUUAAAGGGGUAUGAACUCACUUGUGGUGAGUGGAUUGGAUUGAAGUGUCGGGUACGGUGCUAGGUGACAUAUGAAGACUUGUACACACGCACGAGCCUAGUUAUCAUAUAAUGAACAUAUAUAUAACUAAUUACCCAAUGUAUAACUAAUAAAUUAAAUUGGGACACCCUAGAACAUGAAAACACUUUGUUUCAAGUGUUAAAGAUCACAAGGAUUGCAUCCGAGUGUUGGUAGGGCAAAACUAGUGUGUUUGGAGUCCAAGGGUAAACUCCCUUGGAGUUUACGGUUUUGAUGGUCAAGACCUAGGGAGUGUACGGCAGUAAACUCUAGUCUUAAUGUCCAAGUGUUGUGUUGUGGUUUAGCAAGCCUUUUGAAGCAAUUCUACUAAGUGGUUUGGCCUUUGGAAGGGACUAGGGCAACAAAACACCUCCUUUGAGGAGUUUAUGGCCUAAUGGCAUUUUCCUUUGGGUUUACUACCGUAAACCCUUAUGGAUAAGUGUAUUGCCAUGUUUUCAAGUCCCUAACACAAUUAGGUAAGUGUAUGUGCUAGUUUCUAAGCCUAAGGAAGGAAAAUAACCCAUUUAGACACACUUUAGGGUGUUUACGUUUUUGGGAGAUCCCCAAACCAUAAACACCUAUAAUUGUUGGAUUUUGGUGUUUUUCAAGGCUUAGAUACGUCAAAGGAAGGUUUAAUCAAUUCGUGGAAGGCUUAAACAUCAAACUAGGGCUUAGAUAAGGACUUAGGCACACUUUGGUGCACUUUAUGGUGUUUAUGGUCCAAGCAUCUCCUUGGACCGUGAACACCUAUAUCCUUGUGUUCUUGAAAUUUUUUCUUGAUAUUCAAAUGUAAUACUAGCUUAAAAUCACUCAAGGAUGAAAGCACUUAUUAUUAGAAGGCUUGAUUUGAGCUAAAAGGCCAAGAACACUUAGUGUGUGUUCUUGGUGUUUUGGAAAUCUAGUCAAAAUACAUAUAUGGUUGGAUGAUUAGAUGUAUGAACACUAGAUUAAGUGUUUUACUAACUUAAAAAGGUUAGAACACUUACAAGAUUGAAGAUUUGGAAUUAAAUCUUGGAUGGUAUUUGAGAGAGUAUUUGGAGUUAACUCUUUUGACAUUUUGGGGAGGAAACAAAAUAACUAGACUUUUUGGGGAGUAAACUCAUACAUCGGUAUGAGUUCACGGUUUUGGGUGAUUUCUCAACCCAAAACAUCAAAAGUUUGGUCGGGUGACUCUAAUACGCGAAGUGUUUGUGGUUUUUGAAAUUUAAAACCCGAGACGGCACUUUCUUUCACCCGUUCGUUUAAAAAUAAUAUUAAAAUAAUCAAAUGAACUUUAUAUUUCUUAAAAAUAAGAAAUAAUUACAUUAACUUAUGAUACGAAGUGGUUGACUUUUAGGGUUUGACCGAAUGGAAAUUUCGGGUUGUCACACCGAGUCUAUUCUAGCACUCGUCGAGUCCUAUGAACUCCAGGUCUAAAAUCACGUCCAAUACAUUGGGUAAAACAUUAUGUCCAAUUACAACCCUUCUAACACUCAACUGGGUUCCUUUGACCCUCAACGAAUAAGGUCUCAAAGCCUCGGACUCGUCGAGUCCCAAGAACGGACUCGCUGAGUCAGUCAUGUCCGCACUAUAAAUCCUUGAUUUCUAAUGUACAACCUUUGAUCAAAAGAUAGAUCCAAGCUUCUAUAAUCGAUCUAGCACGUAAAGUUACAAACAUUACGUUCUUGCAUGGGACUUUGAGCUCAAAAAUACAUAAAACAAGAUCUUAAGAUGCAUGGGGCCUUUCAUGGGUGCAAAAGUCACUCAAAUCUGCCUAGUGGCCCCUUAAACGAUGUGAUUCAGAAGCUUUAACCCCCAACCAUGUUUGUAAACAUGGUUGGCCACCAAAAAUGGCUUGUAAAAGCCCUAAAUCUCCCCAAAGAGGGAUCUAACAAAUUAAUGAGCACGGUUACAACUUUUUACCUCCAAUGAGCUAUAGAUGGUGCACAAGCUCGUGUUCCCUUGGUGUCUACUUGUUUCCUCAAGCUUUUCUCCUUCCUUCUUAAGACCACAAGCACCAUAAUCCACCAACAAGGCUUAGAUUGCUUCAAUAACGGCUAGGGUUUCAAUGAGAGGCGUUUUGGGAGCAUAAGGGACAAUAUGGGCGUCAUAUCAUUCCAUAAAUAGGGUGUAAACCCUCAGAUUAGGGUUUUUGUCCGAAUUAUACCUACUCGCCGAGUCCGGGACCCGAAUCGUCAUGUUCAUCACUUAAGUCUCACGUUUUGUCCCGCUUCUACUCGGCGAGUUGGUCCUUCAACUCGCCGAGUCCAAGGAAAAAAUGCAAAAUACAUAGAUAAAAUAAAAAGAAGAGUGUACCAAGAAUCAGGUGCUACAGAUCUUCCCCACUUAAUUUAGACUUCGUCCACGAAGUCUGAAAUAACUCCGGGUAGUGCUCCAUCAUCUCGUCCACUGACUCCCAAGUCCAUUCUGAGCGCUUCCGGUGCUGCCAUUGCACAAUCACAAGUUCCACUCUCUUGUUCCUCAUAUCUUUUGACUUCCGGUAGAGGAUCACCACAGGUCGCUCAAUAUAGUUCAGGCUGCCGUCGACCUGAAUAUCCUCCAAGGGCACAACUGCUGAGUCGUCGACCAGGCACUUUCGCAGCUGGGAAACGUGGAAAGUGUUGUGGAUCAAACUGAGUCCGGCUGGAAUAUCCAGCCUAAAUGCCACCUUGCCCACCCGGACUAUAACCCUAAACGGUCCAAUGUACCUGGGUCCCAACUUGCCCUGUUUCCUAAAUCGGUUAACGCCCUUCCAUGGCGACACCUUCAGGAGAACUAUAUCCUUGACCUCGAAUUCAAGGUCUGAUCGGCACUUAUCAGCAUAACUUUUCUGCCAACUCUGAGCAGUCUGAAGCCUACUUUGGACCUGCUGAAUCCUCUCUGUCGUCUUGAGCACUACUUCGGUGCUCCUCAUUACCCUCUGGCCAACCUCGCCCCAACAUAUCAGGGUCCUACACUUCCUCCCGUACAACAACUCGAAGGAAGGACUAUCGAUACUCGUAUGAUAACUAUUGUUAUAGGAGAACUCCACCAAAGGGAGGUAGGUAUCCCAACUACCUCCGAAGUCUAACAUGCAUGCUCGCAGCAUAUCCUCCAGAGUCUGGAUGGUCUGCUCGCUCUGACCAUCCGUCUGAGGGUGAAAGGCGGUGCUAAAAUGCAGACGAGUACCCAGCUCGUCGUGAAACUUUUUCCAAAACCUGCAAGUGAACCGCACAUCUCUGUCUGAAAUCACCAACACAGGCACCCCGUGCCGUGCCACCACCUCCGUGAUAUAGAUGUCGGCCAACUUCUCGGCCGAGAUGCUCUCCUAAAUCAGAAUAAAAUGAGCGCUCUUGGUCAAUCGAUCGAUGAUAACCCAAAUCGAAGCCACCCCUCGCGCGGUCCUGGGAAGCAUUGUGAUAAAAUCCAGUGUCAUGUCCUCCCAUUUCCAUAGCGGAAUGUCCAGCAACUGCAUCUUCCCAUGUGGCCUCUGGUGCUCGGCCUUGACCUUCCGCCAGGUCAAGCACCGCUCCACGUACCAUGCUAAAUCCUAUUUCAUGCAGGUCCACCAAUAGUCCAGGAGAAGAUCCCUAUACAUCUUCAUUGCCCCGGGAUGAAUGGAGAAUCAAGAUUUGUGCGCCUCCUCCAUCAGAACCUGGCGCACACCCCCGUGGUACGACACCCACACCCUACGGUGUAGUGUCAAUAACCCUCAGCUGUCAUAGUCGGAGGAGGAAACAUGCCCCACAAUCCGCUCACUCUUUUGAUGUUCCUCCUUCAUAGCCUCCUGCUGGGCCUCCCGAAUCAGCUCCAAAAGCGGAGUCACCACUGUUAUCCUCAGAUAGAUAUCCCUGAUCAGCACUGCCUUGCAGCUAAACAUAUCGGCCACUACAUUAGCCUUUCCCGGAUGGUAAAGGAUCUCGCAAUCGUAAUGUUUUACCACAUUAAGCCACCGACGCUGCCUCAUAUUCAGAUUUGGCUGGUCCAUGAGAUACCUCAGGCUCUUGUGGUCCGUGUAAAUCGUAUAACGAACCCCAUAUAGGUAAUGACGCCAAAUCUUGAGGGCAAACACAACGGUUCCAAGCUCCAAAUCAUGCGUUGGGUAAUUCGCCUCGUGAGGCUUCAGCUGCGUCGAAGCGUAAGCAAUGACAUGCCUUCUCUACAUGAAUACUGCGCCCAAACCUGAGAUGGACGCAUCACAGUAUACGAAGAAAUCCUCCAUGCCCUCUGGCAGGGCCAAGAUUGGCGCCUCGCACAACGUUCGCCUCAAUGUCUCGAAUGCAGCCUACUGCUCAGGCCCCCAACGAAAUACCAUGACCUUCCUCAUUAGCCCGGUCAGGGGUACGACUAUCUUGGAGAAAUCCUGGAUGAAUCUCCGAUAGUAGCCGGCUAACCCUAGGAAACUCCGAAUCUCAGAUGGAGACUUCGCAACCUCCCAUCCCAUCACGGCCUCCACCUUGGCCGGAUCUACUGAAAUCCCGUUCUGCUUGACAAGGUGCCCAAGAAAUUGCACCUCGCGCAACCAAAACUCACACCUGGAGAACUUAGCAUACAAGUUCUCCCUCCUCAAUCCUUGGGAGUGGGUAACGGUUCUUCACCGUUACCUUAUUCAAUUCCCGAUAAUCUAUACACAUCCGGUGCGACCUGUCCUUCUUCUUCACAAACAAAAUCGGGGCUCCCCAGGGUGAACAGCUUGGUCUAAUGAAUCUCUUGUCUAACAGCUCCUACAGCUGUGUAGAGAACUCCUGCAUCUCAGUAGGAACCAACCGAUACAAUGCCUUGACGAUUGGAGCCGCAACAGGGACCAAGUGGAUUCUGAAUUACAAGUGCCUCUCCCGAGGUACCCUGGGCAACUCCUCGGGGAAUUCGUCCUCAAACUCUCGUACUACGGGCACAUCGCCCACCGUCGCCCUACCCGCCUCCCGAGUAUCCAUAAUAUAGGCGACAUAACCUGUGCAACCCUGUCGAAGGUAGCGCCUAGCCCUCGCCGUUGAACAUAAAAUUGGUCCUUGUUGUGGCCUUUCGCCCUAAACCACCUGCUCUCCCCCACUGGGGGCCUAAUCCGCAGUGACUGUUGCGUGCAAUCGAUCACUGCCCCGUUGGGGCUCAGCCAGUCCAUACCAAUAAUGACCUUGUUCCCCUGCAAAAGUAUGGGAACCAAGUCCACCAGAUAACGUUCCUUAAACAACCUCAAAACAAAAUCCCAUUAGACCUCCGACGCUCGUACCGACCGGUCGUCCGCAAUCUAGACCUCUAGAGGGCAAUCCAACAUGCCUGAAGACUCCGAAAACUUCUUACUAAGUGCAAGAGAUACAAAUGAUCGAGUGGAACCCGAUUCAAACAACACCUGAACUGGGAUACCAUUCACAUGGAAUGAUCCUAAGCAAGGCACAUAAUAUAGCAAAAUCACAGCGACAUAACAUAAAAGCAUAAAAUAACAAAUCAUACCCGUCACCACAUCGGGUGCAGCGCGUGCCUCCUUAGUGGUCAGCUGAAAUGCUCGGCUCCUAACCACUAGAGCCUCCACCUUGGCCUUCCGGCCAUCCACAACCCGUGCUUUCGCUUAAGUCGACGCCACUGCCGGCGCCGCUACUGCUGUCAAUUUAGGGCAAUUGGCUUUUUUAUGGCCCUUCUGAUUCCAAUGAUAGAAGAUCAUGUCAGAUAUCUGAAUCGCAGAAGUAGAGGUAGUACAGUCUUUGCCAAAAUGUCCAACCUUUCCGCACUUAUAGUAGCCAGAACCUGGCCCAGUGCGACAAGCUCCCUCGUGUGACCGUCUGCAUUUCCCACAGCGGUCCCGCACUGACUGGCCUUUCGGCCAACCAUCGGAUCCCUUGGGCUUCUUCCCUGAAGCCCCCAUCAUCAUCCCCUCCGCUGCCUUCCUCUUCCGGAUGUGCUCCAGAUCAAUCUCCCUUUCCCUAGCCCUGGCAAUCAUGGAAUCUAGGGUAGGGCAAGCUGAGAAACUUACAUGCUCUCGGAUGUCAGCUCGUAGCAUGUCAUGGUAGCAGGUCCUCUUCAUGUCCUCAUCACCAGCAUACUGGGGCACCAACAAUGCCCUCUUCCGGAACUUGGCGGUGAUCUCCAACACAGUCUCCGUAGUCUGUCUCAUAUCCAAGAACUCCCUGACCAGCUGCUGAAUCUCCACAGCUGGCGCAAAAUCGACCAUGAAUCUGGUCACAAAGUUUGCCCAGGUCAUAGCCUCAACAGCCGAGGCUCCCAGAGAGUCACCAACCGACUCCCACCAAUCUUUGGCCCUGUCUCUCAAACACCCUGCAACGAAAUGGACCCUCGACCCUUCCUGGCAGAAGCUUGUCAGUUGCGCAAACUCGAUGUCUGCGAGCCAUCGCCUAGCAGCAAUGGGAUCCUUCACCCCAUGGAAAUCUGGCGCACCACUCCCUCUGAAGUCCUUAAAGCAGAGUGUGUGGCCCUGACUAGCUGGUCGUAAUGUCACUCCUGAACGUGCUGAGGUGUUCCUCCAUCAGCUCGAUGAUCCAUUCCUUGAUCGACCCGAAGAUAACCGGCAUCGCAUCAAGGAUACCCCUCGUGAUCUCAGACGCGAUGAAAUUGUGUAACCCAUCAUCAACAUGCUCGGAUCCUGCGCCCGAGCCCGAUCCUGACCAGCAUCCUGAACCUCCUGCUCCAUGUCGCACGACUGUUAGGGUCACAUAUACCUCUUAGAGGUCUCAUAUGCUUCCCAAGUUUCUAGGUUCCAUCUAGGCCCUCCUUGAUUCGAGUACGGGUCCUGUACUUUCAGUAGUACGGGCCCAUACUACCUUCCACAUCUACCCGUACUUUCCUCAAUGAUUUCUUCGACUUCGCCAAGUCCCUUUUACCGAUACCCUUUCCACUGUUCUCAUCCUAGGCUUCCCUAGGGCACUCUCCGACCUACUCUCUGCCAUCAGCUUCAGUAGGAGUACCCACCACCUCUUCCUAACUAGCUUCCGGAUAAUGUUACAUAUUCGUUCCUUAGUUACUUGAAGUUGGCCAGAACCCCCAUAGCACAAAGAAAGCAGCACUCGUGCAUUGAGUAGCCAAACUCGGCGUAACCUACACAGACCAUGCUACUGCUUGACUAAUCAGUCCUAGCAUACGGCUCAUACAAUAGGCACAUAAGACAUCCUUCCUAGAUCCUUAGCCCUAACUAGCAUGCAAGUCUCAGAAUCAUAUAUCAGGCACACAAGGCAUCUUCCUAGAUCCUUAGUCCUAUUCCAGCAUGUAGUUCUAUGAAUCAAACCAUAUAACAUAACAUAAUAAGUAUGGGUAUCUUGGGGAAGACUUACUUGAGCUUGGUCGGUCGCACGCAUCACACACUUCGUAUUUAAAAUUUCUCAAUUUAGAUUUAGAAACCAUUUCCCUUGAAAAAUCUUUUACUCCCUCGGGUUGAGUCUAGAUACCCCCGAGGGUGUGUCCGAAUCCCUCAAACCAGGGCUCUGAUACCAACUUGUAACAUCCAAAAAUUCAAGGUCGAAAAUUUCAUUUUCAAAUCAAGAAUUCCCUAAAAAUUUUUACCAAAAUAUUGUCGAAUAAACAUCACGUCACAAAGUCAUAUUGUUGUGUCUCAAAACUAUAACGUCAAGAGUAAUAAAAUCAUAGUACAGUCCCAAAAACUCCUUGCCGAAAUCCAUGUUUGUGUGUGAUGUGCUGCUACACCACCGACUCCUUUCCCUUCGACGAAGAUGUACCUGAAACCAAAACAAAAACUGUAAGCAGAAAGCUUAGUGAGUUCAAUCAUCAUACCAAAGACCAUACAAUAUCGUCGGUAUCUUUCAACCGGUAACCUUCAUCGAUAUCUUUCAACCAGUAACCAACAACGGUAUCUUUCAACCGGUAACCAACAUGAAUAUCAUUCAAUCGGUAUCCAUCAUCGGUAUCUUUCAACCGGUAACCCACAUCGGUAUCUUUCAACCGGUAUCCGCCAUCUCUAUCUUUCAACCGGUAACCUACAUCGGUAUCUUUCAACCGGUAUCCAUCAUUGUUAUCCUUCAACCGGUAUUUGGGGACUAUUUCACCCCCUACCACUAGCAUACUGUCUACAGAUAUAAACGUACAGUCAGGCAUAUACGGGUACUGACCUACCCUUGGGCCAUACGGACCACUGUUAGGGAAACUAAUCCCUACUAUACACAUAACAUAUCAUCCAGAUAAAUCUCAUAACCAACACAUAACCAGACCAAGAUAAUUAUCACAAAGACCAUUAUCUUCUAAGUACCCCUUUUUGGUAGGCCGACAUUGUGGCCUUAGACCCACCCCUACUGGAAGGUAACUCACCUCAAUGUCGUGCAGUGUUUGAAUUAUACUUGGUGCACAAGUCGACUCCCUUUGACUCCUAAAUCCCUACAUGAAAACCUUCAAGUCAACACACAGCAAGUACAACCCUAAACUGGGUCAGUCCAAGUGUAGCGAAAGUCAACUUCAAGUUGACCCGACUUGUCGAUUUGGGCUGUCAGCUCACCGAGUCCCUCAACCUUUACUCGUCCUCAUCCAUGACCUGACUCGUCGAGUUGGGCCGUCAACUCGACGAGUUCCUCUCUCGUAUGAACAUCGCAUGAAACUCAUCUGACUCGUCGAGUUCACCUUCAUCUGAUGAACAAGUUCUGUCCUCGACUCUCCGACUUGAUGAACAACUCGUCCUGUUCAUAUUCAUCCUUAAGAAGAUUGCCAUGGACUCGCCGAUUCUAUUCUAGCACCCGUCGAGUCCCAUGAACUCCAGGUCUAAAAUCACGUCCAAUACAUUGGGUAACUCUUUCUGUCUGAUUACAACCCUUCUAACACUCAACUGGGUUCCUUUGACCCUCAACGAAUUUGGUCUCAAAGCCUCGGACUCGUCGAGUCCCAAGAACGGACUCGUCGAGUCAGUCAUGUCUGCACUCUAAAUCCUUGAGUUCUAAUGUACAACCUUUGAUCAAAAGAUAGAUCCAAGCUUGUAUAAUCAAUCUAGCACGUAAAGCUACAAAAUUUACGUGCUUGCAUGGGACAUUGAGCUUAAAAAGACAUAAAACAAGCUCUAAAGAUGCAUGGGGCCUUUCAUGGAUGCAAAAGCCACUCAAUUAUGCCUACUGACCCCUUAAACGAUGUGAUUCAGAAGCUUUAACCCCCAACCAUGUUUGCAAACAUGGUUGGCCACCAAAAAUGGCUUGGAAAAGCCCUAAAUCUCCCCAAAGAUGGAUCUAACAAAUUAACGAGCAAGGUUACAACUUUUUACCUCCAAUUAGCUGUAGAAGGUGCACAAGCUCGGGUUCCCUUGGUCUCUACUUGCUUCCUCAAGCUUUUCUCCUUCCUUCUUAAGACCACAAGCACCAAAAUCCACCAACAAGGCUUAGAUUGCUUCAAUCAUGGCUAGGGUUUCAAUGAGAGGCGUUUUGGGAGCACAAGGGACAAUAUGUUCGUCAUAUCAUUAUUUAAAUAGGGUGCAAACCUUCGGAUUAGGGUUUUUGUCUGAACAGUACCUACUCGCUGAGUUCAUCACUUAAGUCCCGCGUCCCGUCCCGCUUCUACUCCGCGAGUUGGUCCUUCAACUUGCCGAGUCCAAAGCCAAAAUGCAAAAUACAUAGAUAAAAUAAAAAGAAGAGCAUACCAAGAACUAGGUGCUACAAAAGGCUAUUUAAUGUCGUCUACAAAAUAAAUUACGAAAUGAUUGAGGAUCUCUGUGGCUAUAAUUACUACUACGGUAACUCUUACAAUAAUAGAACUAUAUUCGAAGAGUAUAUAUAAUUACAGAGUCAUUGUAUCUAAUGAAGGUGUGGAAAGUUUAUGAUAUUUUAAAUCACAUUGUGUGGAUAGCAUAUUAACUGUUUAGAAGUGAUAAAAAUCUCACUGUUAUCAAAAUGUGUGUUUAGAAAUGACAAUUAAUCUCACUAUUAUCAAAAUGUGUGUGUAGAAAUGAUAACUAAUCUCACUAUUAUCAAAAUGUGUAAUAAUUCCAAGAUAAUGAAGAUACAUGUGUGGCGAUCAAACGAAGUAGUAAAAUAAUCUAAAGAUUAAUUAAGGUUAUAGGUUUAAGUCAUCAACAAGGGAAUUUAUACAUAAAUAUUUUGAUUACUCUGUAGAAAAAAUUGUCUAGUUGUUUAAAUCAAGACAAAUUCAAGCUUAUGAGUUAGAAAAUUUACGGAAACAAGGUUAAGAGUUUAGGAACUCACUGAAAAUUACAAAGUAGAAUGUUAUUUUAAGAAAGGUGUAAAAAUAUCGAUCAUUGAAAAUAGAGCGUUCUUAAUUUAGUGUUUCUACAAAAUCAUUCAUUUAGUGAGUAGAUAAUAGUAAAAUUCAUGACUUUUCAUGUAUUUAAAGAAAAGAUGAAACAUAAGAAAACAUAUCCUUUACUUAUAUUUUUCUGGAUAUAGAAAAAUGAUAACAACGAGGGUAUUCAUCUUGUGUAUUAAUUAUAAGGAAAAGUACAAUGAAACUCGCAUUUCAAAUCAAGUUUCCGAAUUAUGAAUGAAAGAGCAAAUGUAAAUAAGGAUCACUUGUUUAUAGUAGCUUUCAAAAUAUAACCAUGAUGUAUAUAAUGAAAGGAAUAAUUGAAUAUAUCAAAGUCGACUAAAUCAAAGGUAUGCCUCAUGACUAUACACGUAUUAAUCGCUCAAAACGAAAUGGUAGACUUCUAGUCUUUAUGUAUACGAACAUGAUACUAGGAAAAGAAAAAUAAACAGAAACAAAUUUAGACAAUGUAUAAUUUUACUAUUAUGUGCGUGCGAGAUCUAAAAUCAGAAGGAGAGCGAGAUUAUAAGAACAAUACCUAUAGGUAGAUUUAAAACUAGGUUGAGAUAUAUUUCAAACUUCAAUAUUUGAUGUAUAUUGAUGAUUAAAUAGACAAGUGGGAGUUUUAAUGUGUUUGCUAAGGAUUGCUAAAAAUUCAUAAGUUAUUUAUUAAGUUAAACUUCAUUUGUGAAAAAAGAAGAAGCACUACAAAUGGUAAUUAAAAAUCUGAUAGUAUUGCCCUUUUAGACUAGAGUCCAACAAUGGUUAAAAUGGAUAAGGUAAAGACUUAACAUAUUUAGAUGAAUAAUUGUGCAUUUUCAAAAGUGCGUCACUGGAAGUUUAAAAGUGAACACUAAGUUUUCAAAUGCUAUAAAUUUUAAAAACUUUAUAGAUUAUAAAACUAUAUUGAAGCAAAGUACAAAAAUAAGGUAUGUUUUGAAAUACAAGCAUUAUAGAUGUCUUAUAAACAUGUUUGAAGUAGAAAUUUGCAUAAAUAUCAUGUGGGGUUUCGAGAAAACACAAUAAAGUAAAUUACAAUGUCUAAAUGAGAAAGCUGUUAAAAGUGUCAAAACAAAAGUGUUUUGAAGAUUUGAUGAAACUUUUUCACAUAAUAUGAACUUCAAUGUCAUAUGUUUAAGUUUUAUAGCGUAGAGUUUAAACACUUUUAUGGUAGAAAACAUUUCUAUGUUUUUUGAAAACGUGUCAAAAUGGUAAGCAAGGAUUAAAAUGGUUUAUAUGCCCUUAAAAGCACAUCUAUCCGUUAAAAUAGAUUUGAAAUGAAAUUAAAAUAGCAAGGUUAAAACAAAUAUUGGUUAAAUUGAGUUUUGAAGAAAAGUGUUAAGUUAAAGUAAGUUGUCAAAUGAUUUUUAGCGAGAAUAUGGCUUACAUUGUUAGGAAAGAUCUAAUAAGUAGUAUGAAGUGGUAAUAAAAUAUUUUAUCGUUGAUAAACAAAACAAAAUGAAGCGAAAUAACUAUCGAUGGAAGAUUAUGAAGUAAGGAAUAAGUAUGUUAGUGUAGCUGAUCGUACCUAAAUACUAAGGCGAGUACCAAUGUCUUUUUCCCCAAGAUAAAGGAAAAGAAAAAUUAUUUGAAAAACGUUUUUUGGUGUCAACGCAGUUUACGACUUUUUAUAGAGGUCAAAGGGACAUCCUAUGUUAUGUUUUAAGCUCAAGGUGGAAACAACGUAGAGCUAAAUUGUAGCACACUAGAAAGGUCUCACAUAUAGGUUUAACCUCUGUGUCUCCUUGUGAUUCAAAUAUGGAAUGUCCGCUAGUGGUAUCCAAGUGAUUACUUAGCGGCGAAUCAUCUACCUCCUUACACGAUGCUCCAAUUCUCAUUCAUGUCGGUAUCGAAAUGGUUUUUCCUAGUUGUAACUCUAGUACGAAGACGAUGAAGAAGUAUUAAGGAAUAAUUGGUAUAUAUUUUGACUUAAGAUUAGUACUAGUGUAUAUCUAGCUACUAACCUUACAUCUAAACUCAAUAGCUACCGAGGAAUAUCCAUUCUCAAUACUAAGUGCAUUGCUCCUAGAGUG
This 70182-nucleotide long non-coding RNA is filed under the name Lactuca sativa (garden lettuce). RNAcentral describes it as "long non-coding RNA (LSAT_LNC004136)". The record is from RNAcentral. Lineage: Eukaryota; Viridiplantae; Streptophyta; Magnoliopsida; Asterales; Asteraceae.